GGGAUUUUCUUGCUGGAGAUACAGCUUGACCUCCAAGAAGGGCACAAGAUCGUGGGGGUUUUGGGUUAGAAGAGGGUGGCGUUGUUUUGAGUCGGAGUCAGAGUACUUGGCACGGUUCAAGAGAGCAAAGAGGAUGGCCUUUAGCCAGGUGGUGCCGGAUUUCGGGUUGGUGACGAGGAGGAUGUCAGAGGGUUGAGCUUGGAAGUGGUUUUGGCAAGCGAGGACACCGUUGAAGAGCCAAGUGGGGAACCAGAAGCCCUGGUACAAGCAGAAAGAGGUUGCGACCCAGCCUUCUUCAGAAGGGAGAGAGGACACCAAGUCUUUGCAUGCUUGUGACAAGUGAUCGUCUCGCCUGUAUAUUGGAUCGGAAGGACGAGCAGGUUGAGAGACUUGCAUGGUGGUGAUGGUGGUGGUGUUGGUAGUGGUGUGGCGGAGGAGGAGAUGGUGGGGGUGGAGAGUCGGAGUGAAGGAUUAUUCUUGCUAGCUAGCUAUGGAGCUAGUUUAGGAAAGGGUUAGUGAUGUUUGUUGGCCCAAUAUAGAGGCUUUUUAAAGGGAAAGAUCGUUGCUGGGAUAAGGACUGAAAAAAAGGCAAAAAAAAAAAAAAGAAUACUUUCAUGAAGAUGGUAUUGGGCUUAUCUAAUUGUUUACAUAUUAAAUGUUAUCUACAUCUUUCUAUAAACAACUUUGCAUUCAAACUUUUGACACUCCUGGCACUAUUAAUGCUUUCAUAUAACCAACGUGGUAGGUAAGAAUUAAAUAGUGCCAAGAUUUAAUUGAUUUUUAUAAAGUUAUGUUUCAAAACAUUUAUCGGAUGCUGGAAUGUAUUCCGCCCCCUUUAUUUAAAUUUUAUUUAGAUUUACUAUUUCAUCUUGUAGAUCCAUUUUGGAGAUCAAUAUUUGUGUUCUCGAUAUUAACUAAUCCAAACUAACAAUAAUACGAGAUGCAUUUUGUACAUGCACCUAAAUGAAAUUCAUUUAGGGGGCUUAUUAUUUCCUCUAUCUCUAGUUGGAAAAUCCAAUCGAAAUUUGACAUCGCACAAACACAUUUUUAGUUAAUUUUGCUUGUGGGUUAUGUCCAUAUUGUUAAUCCCCAAAUUAGAGGUCUUGCUGAGGCAAGGAUGGAAAUAAAAUGUCUUUUUAGUUAGGUUUGCAAUAUCAAGUCGAUAAAUCAUUUGGCGUGCAUCUAAUACAUGUAAAGUGAAGACACCGUCAAAGGACAAGCAUUAGGACCAGAUGUUUUAUUUUUUACUAGUUUAUGCCUAUUAGAAUAAAGAUAUUCAUAUAUAUGCACAUUAUCUACUUUUUUGGCUAUUCAAAUAAAAUUUUACGCGGUACUCUAAUUACCAUAUCAGAACGAGGCAUUACCGUCACCUGACUUAUUGCAUGCAUCAGGCCUAUAAAACCGAACGUGUAUAUGUAAAUUUUAUCUGAUUCGUCUAAUAAAAUUUCCUCGCUUCGAGAACAAGAUGGGAGAAGACCACUGAGUCAUCAAGACUGGUUGGCUUGAAAUGCCGAUAAACCUGAGCGUCAAAUCCUAACCUCCAAGCUAGAUGACAUGUAAUGUACUCUCUCUGUCCUACACUUUCUUCAUAAUUUUCAUUGAUCAAUUAAAUCUGUAUAUCGAGUCAAUAUGUAUAGUAUGAAAUAUAUAUUAUCGACUGACAAGGACUAAAAAAGCUCAAGUGGGUACGCACUCUUCCUCACCGACAAACGUAAUAAAAUAUCUUUUAGUCAUAUUAAUAAAGUGAAUGUCAUUUGGCGAGUCAUACCGGGUAGCUAGAAGCAAAUAUGCAUCUGGAUCGCAUGAUUGAACCGUAGCACACCUUAUGAUCGAAACAGAACCGAGUAUGGGCUUGGCCUACCCACGAAACGGUACGUCUAUUGGAGAGGGUCGUCCUUAGGAUAACAUCUCUAAAAGUCUGGACUGAUCCACUGGGUCUAGUUGGUGAAGUCUGAGAGCAAGACACAAAUUUAUAAAUAUCUGUUGGUUGGCUCUUUGUGGUCUUAGUCUUUGGUCCAUUAUGAGAAUAGUAAUCAGUUUUGAGCCACAAAUUCUUGAAGAAAUGAACUCCACAACAAUUUAUAAUUAUUUGUUAAUUAGUUUUUUGUGAUCCCAAACAAAGUGUUAUUUUUACAAUAGAUUAAAGACUGUCACCUAAUCAUUUUUUUCUUCUUUUUUCACAUUAUCUGUAAAACCACCAAGUGAAAAAAAAUCCAAUAUAACCAAAGUAGAAUCCAUUUGCAGAUGAGUUUCUUUUCUGCAUGAACCGUAUCUUUGGACAAAAUUCGUAAUAUGUGCCUAGUAAGAACUAAUUGUGAAAUUAGUAAAUUUUGCGGGAAUUUCUGUUUUUUACGAUCAAGACAUGAGAGAUCUGGAUCUUGGUUGUGUGCAUAACAAGACUACUUAUCAAGAAAAGAAAACUUUCUACUAGUUCUCUACUUCAAUAAGGUACAAAUGCAAAAAAGGUUUUGCUAGUAUAACAAUUUUUGGGCUAUUGUAAUAAUAUACUGUGAAUCACAAAUUUUUGAAUAAGUGGACCCCACAAUGAUUUCUAAUUAUUUGUUAUUUAUAUUUUUACAAUUCAAAAUAAAUUGUUAUUCUUGCAAUAGAUUAAUGAUAGUCCUAUAAGCAUUUCUCAUGCGAAAUUGUGCAUGCAACACUUUGGAAGGUAUCAUCACGAAUACUUGGUGUUUUUUUAUUGACCGAUUAGUAGAACUCUACUACGCAAAAACUUCCAGACUAAUUCUAAACAAAGAAUCAAGAUUUCAUGGUAUAACUGUGUAAAGUUUACUUUUCUUUUACGACGCUUUCACAUUUAACUAAGAACGAAUAUCGCAAAGCAUAAAAGUAUUGUAUUUUACGAUAUUUUGUGACAAAAAUUCAUAAUAUUGUACUACAAAUAUAUUUCACCUUAGAAAAACCCUAGUAGAUUGCAUGGCCAGGAGAUGAAUUCAUUUUUUGUGUCCGAAAUCUUGGAAUUCAUGAAUUGAUGAGCAAAGGUUGGUCUGUUCUUCGGCGUGUUCUCAAUCUUCCAAAGGAAGAUGGCGGACUUUUAACAGGAAUGGGCAGGAAAUAGAAAAGAGGAAAUAAUAAUAGAACGGGGCUCAGCUUGGAUUCUAGUCAAAUUCGAUUUUGGGCUUAAGCAGACUUAGAAUUUGUGACGUCAGCUGAGCUUCGUAUAGCGUAGGCGGGUCUGUGAAGAAUUAGAUUUUGCGACGUGAGCUUAGCCCAUUAGAAAUUGUUGUUCGGACUUGUAAAGUCCGAGUUUAAUCCUGUACAUUGCUUGGGCCCGAAAGCUCGGUCUACAUUUUUAUAAGUCCAUAUCAAGAUAAGGAUAUUAUAAGUGUCAUGACUUUUGUAUAGCACUAAUUUAAUCUAUGAGAUAAAAAAUUAAACAAAACCUUAUCAUAUAUUGAGGAAGAAAAUUUAAAUGUUUCAAUUAUUACAAUUUAUGGAUGAGGAAAUUAUCAUUUACAUUUGAGGAUUUCAUUUUCGUUUUAUCUAUUUACAUUUUUUACCAUAAUGUAAUUGCAAUUCAUGCUAAAUAAAGUGACACGGCCCCGCUCUUGAUGGAAUUUGUAGAGAAAAGAGCUUGAAUUUACAAUUAAAGACUUGAUCAUUUGUUACGCAGUAAACAGUGGAGAUUCAUAUUUUUUUUGGGAGGAGGGGACAAUUAGCUUAUAGUUGAAACCCAAACAAAGGCGAUAAAAUUUGCGAUCUUAUAAGUACAACACGACAUGAGAAUACGAUUGGUGAUGACUCUGUCAUAUCAUAGUAACUUCCAUAACAAGAGAUGCUCAACUGGAAAAUACAAUAGGUUCCCUGAGUCGUGAAUGAUGACAAAAAAUCAUAUGUCGCCUUUGGCAAGGUCAACGUCCAAACCCAUAAGCUUUCUCCUUUUAGAUUUGUUUCUUUUUGCAUGGUUGCAAAGUGAUACGUAAAUAAGGCAUAAUUAUAUUAGUUGGCUGGUGACUGUCGGCUAAAUAGUCGGAUCAAAUGGAUUACUUCAAAGCUUUCUAGCGGUGGCCAAAGAACAUUUCCAAAUGUUGAGUCAGAAUAACAACCAUGAUUGGCAAAUAAUGACACUAAAGAUCUUUCGCGCAACAUCAUAAGAAUGACUCUCUCAGCAGCCAACUGGGCAUUGACCUUCUCAGCAUGCUUACAUCAAUCAAUUCGUUUAUCAUCAGUCGCACAGGCACUCGCACACCUGAGGCCUCAACCUAGAGCCAUGCAGCUUCUCUUCAUGAACAUCAUGCACAGCCAUUUGUGAUGCCUUUAACCAAGAAAAUUAUCAAAAAAGUGUUAAACUUAUUAUAUGGAUGUCAAAUUCAGUCAUAAUCUUUUUAAUUUGAGUGAUUUAGUCCUAAACCUUUUAACAAUUUGUCAAUUUUGGCUGGCAAUAAUUAACAUUAACAAUUUUUUAACAUCUUUCAAAUUAUCUAAAUAUUGUCUUUUCUCUUUUUGUUUCUUGCUCGGCGACCGGUGGAGGGAAAUAGGAAAAAGAGGAAAAGGAAAGAAAAGCAAAGGGAAAAAAAGAAAAAAACUUCAGAUAACUUGAAAAAUGAUCAAAAUCGUUUACGUCAUGGAUCUCCAAUCAAAAUUUGGUUAAAAAGACUAUAUUAACAAAUCAUAAAAAAUUUUAAGACUAAAUUAAUUAAAUUGAAAAAUUUAGAACUAAAUUAAUAUCUGUCAAAUAAGUUUACGACUUUUUUUAUUUAUAACUAUCCCGUUAUUAAUCACCAACUAAAGUUUCUCCAAUUAGGGAUGGAAAAAUUAUAAAAUUACGAUAAAUUUAUUUUAGAUGUGCUAUUUUACCUUUUAGCGACUUUUACCCCAGCAAUCCCAGAAGACGAAAGUCUGUCUUUCCUUAAUCCACGCCAAUAUGAUGUCACACAUACGAAGUUUUGACACGUGCCGAAUUAUCAUGUUCUUAUGCACACCAGAAAAUCACUUCCACGACCCCUCUUUACCUAGUGCAGUGCCAGACCCGGCCCCAUGAUCGUGGCCUUGCCUUCUCAUUUCUAAUCAUCACCAUCGACGGCAACCUCCACCAUGCCAUCUUCGCCCCCAGUAGAGCUGGUCAGUGGGCGGGAUGGUACUGUGCUGGAUAGGUCUCACUCAUUGUCCAAGCUCGCCUUUUAAGAGAAAUAUGUAUAACUUUUCCGAGUUGAGUGAGUGGCCCUGGAUCAAGACCCAACGGAGACAAGUUAAACUUUAUAAUUUGAUGUCUUUGCCUCUGUCCACAGAAGUUUGUCUUUUGAGUACUUUUUGUGGACGCGGGUUAGUGGGCUGCUAGACACAUGAUUAGGUUUAGCCACUGGUCCAGGGGCACUCAACUCGAAAAAGGCAUAUACAUACUUCUUUGGCCCGCUCACAUAAGUUUGUCUUCGAGCACUUUUCAUGCGUGUAGGCCAGUAAACUGUUAGACUCGUGAUUAGAUUUAGGAUGCGAAUAAUAACUAUUUUGAUCAAAAAUUGAUUUCUGGAAGAGAAAUAUAUUUUUAUAUUUCUAUUUUUAGAUAAGUUUCUAAGCAAAAGUAACUGUUUGAUAAUGAUAUAAAAUUUUUACUCCAAAAAUAAAAAAUUUGUUUAAUAACGAUAACAAAUUUCUUCCUUUCGGAUGGAGGCGGACUGGCGGACGGCGGUGGACCAACGACCGGUGGCGACAGUGGUGGCGGCCAGCAAUCGGCAGACGGUGGUCGGCGAUGAUGAAUGGAGGACACGAUAAAAAGAAUUUUUAUUUCUCAUUUCUAUUUCAGAAAUAGAGAAGUAUAAAAUUUUUACUUCUGAUUUCUAUUACAAACCUAUUUUUGGAACAAAAAUUUAUUUCAGAAAUAGAAAAUGAAAUAAUUUUACCAAACGGAUUUCUAUUCUAGAAACAAGUCUGGAAUAGAAAAAUUGUUGAACAAAAAUUACUGAUUGUCAUGCACCCUCUUAGUAACCAGUCUCAACCACAAUGCGCCCCCUCUACCCAAGGAGGCGCCUUCCUCCUUUAUAUCGGUGAGAUCUUGACUCGAUCUCAAUGGUGAUUGGUAAUGAUGAUGAAAUCAGAAUUUGUACGGUAAUUCUUAAUCGACAAUAUGUUAGUGAAUAUACUUUGGCUUACCUUUCUAUUAAAGUAAUGCAGGAUUUAUCCAUAUUUAAAUUAUAUUUUUAAUAAACGGAAAUUUUAACCUAAACAACUAAAACUGCUCUACAAGGUGUAUAUAUAAUGGUAUAAAACCCGAAAUUUUCACAAGAAAAUAUAAUACGAAGAAAGAGAUGAUGAAUACGCAUAAGCUAAUAUUUAAGAGAAUAUAAUGUUAAAUGAAUGUUCUCCCAAAGCUUAUGACAAAGGAAAUUUGAGUGUUUUUUUUUUUUCCUUUGUAAAUAUUCCGUCAAAAACUCUAAAGAAAUUCUACUCGAAAUAAUUGUUCUAGUUGUUACUAUUUUAGUCCAUUCUAAACUAGAAGAAAGAGCGCUCAUUCUAUCUGUGCUAUAGAUGAAUUACACAAAACCUUAGCAUAUAUAGAGGAAGAAAAUAUAAAGGUUUCGAUUUUUACAAUUUAUGGAUGAGGAAACCGUUGUUUAGAGUUGAGGUUUUUAUUUUCAUCUUAUCUAUUUACAUUUUUUUGCCCGUUAGAUACGCUAUUUUAAUUGUAAUUCAUGCUAACUAAAGUGAUACGGCCUCGCUUUUGAUGGAAUAUUUUGGGAAAAGAGUUUGAAAUUAAAAUUAAAGAUGUGAUAACUCGUUAUGUUGUUGAUUCAAAUUUUGUUUGGGAGGAGGGGACACUUCGCUUAUAAUUGAAAUUUGAAAUCCAUACGAAGUUGAUAAUUUCGUAACAAGAGAUACUCAAUAAACUUUAUACUCCUCCCGAAUAUACUAUAGUUUCCUUUCCGUAAGUGGUGAAUCACGAUGAAUGUCGAAUCUAGAAUGGAUCGCGUAUCGCAAUUAUGUUGGUCGGCUGAUGGCUGUCGGUUAAAUAGUUUGGAUCAAUUGGACUCCUUUAAGCUUUCCAGCCAACUAAACGUGGGGGCCAAAGAACAUUUCCAAAUGCGGAGUAUGCCAUAAAGAGAAAAAUAAUCACAACCUUGAAGCUUCUCAAUAAUGGUGAGGAAGUCACGAUCGGCGAACGACACCAACAUCUUUCACGUAAUAUCAUGAGGACGAAUCUUUCAGCAGCGAACUGGUCAUUGACCUUCCCUGCAUGCUUAUAUCAAUCAAUGUCUUUAUUAUCAAACACACGCACACGCGCACCGACCCAAAAAAAAAAAAAACACGCACACGCGCACCCACACCUAAAGCUUCAACCCAGAGCCAUGCAGCUUCUCCUCCCCAACGCGGUCAAUCUUCUCGGCUAUGUCUACGCUCAAGUAAUUUACCCAAUCUCCAACCUCGCCUCUCCUAAAGAACGCCUUGUUCUCUUCCCCUGACGCCAACUUGCCUCUCUUGUUCACCUCCAGCCCGCUCAAAUUGUCAAAACUACAGAGCCUCAGUAUUUCGUCCACCAUCCCUUCUCUCAGCUCUUCUUGACUGAACGGACACUCCAGAAAACCGGCCAGCCUCCUCAGGUUAGCGUACGGGUCCUCCUUCAUGUCCUCGUACUUCAGGAACAACACCUUCUCGGGUGUCUCCGAGCUCGCCUUGUGGUACCCCAGCACGUGGUCCCAGUAAGGCCCGAACAAGCUCACGCCUCGGCAGAACCUGUCGAGCGACUCCUGCAGCGAGUUCUCACCCCUUUCCUUGGGCCUCAGCUUGUUGGUGAAGUGCCAGAGCGAGACGCAGGUGUCUUUGGGGUUCCUGCAUAAGUACACCAGCUUGCACUUGGAGUCCCUCACCGGCUGAGGGAGCGAUUGAUAAGGCAAGUGCGUAGCAAAUAGCCUCGGGGGCGGGAGUGAGGCAAGGUCCGGAGUGUCCUGCUCGACGUAGAGCUUUAAUUCCAGAAACGGCACCAGGUCGUGAGGGUUAUGGUUCAACAGAGGGUGUUGUCCUUGCGAGCCCGAGCCCGAGUACUUGGUCCGGUUGAGGAGGGCGAAGAGGAUGGCCUUGAGCCAGGUAGUGCCGGACUUCGGGGUGGUGACGAGGAGGAUGUCGGUGUCUUGGGCUCGGAAGUGUCUCUGGCAAGCCAGGACACCCUUCAAGUGCCUUGGGCCGACCCAGAAGCCUUGGUAUAGGUGGAGGGUGGUGCCAACCCAGCCUUGUUCGGACGGGAGAGAGGGAAGGAGAUCUCUGCAUUCUUGAGAGACGUCAUCAUCUUGCAAGUACUUUGGGAGGGAUGGAGAUUGAGCCAUUGUUAUGUGGUGGAUUAGGUUUUCAAGCUUGCUCUUGAUCUCAGGAAAAGAAGAAGGGUUGGUUUGAGACUUUUGUUGUGGUAGUAUCUCUAUAUAGAAUAUCUUAAAGAGAUAAAUGACACAAAUAGUCAUUGAACUUAGACAUAAUGUGCAAUGUAAUUCAUGAACUUCUAAUUUAUUCAAUAUGAUUCAUGAAUUUUUUUAUUCAUUAAAUAUAAUUUUUAGACUUUUGGUACACAUUCAAUUUAUUUCCCGAACUAUAUGGAAAUGUUCAAUAUUAUCUUUCAUUUGAUUCAAGUUCAAGAACAAUAUUGAAUAUUUCCAUAAAGUGUAGGGAUUGAAUUAAACAUGUAUUAAAAGUUUAUAGACCCACAUUAAACAAAUUAAAAUUUCAUGAAUCACAUUGCAUAUUGGGAUAAAGUUUAGGGCCGCAUUGAUAUAUUAAACAUUUAGAGACCACAUUAUAUAUUAAGCCAAAGUUCAGAUUUCAUUUAUGUCAUUUUCUCCAUAUGAAAAAGAAGGGGAUUCGAUGAGCUGCCCACUUUUCGUGCCCUUUAGAGUGCAUUGCAUAAAGAUGGCCCAAAGAAGAGAGAAAAAAUUCAUUUUUGUACCUCUAUAUAUAUUGCUUUUGUGUUUUUUUAGAUAGAGGUAUGAAAAAUAGUCAAGAGUCUCUUUCCUUCUUUUUACGAACUUGCCACUUUAUAGUCAUGACCUAAGUAGCACGGACACACGACACGACACGUUGACACAUCAUUUUUUAAAAAUAGAAAAUUUUGACACGUUGGGACACGUUGUAUAUUAAAUAAAUAUUUUUAAUUUUAAUUAAUUUAAUCCUAAUUUAAUUAAAAAAGAACUUACAAUAAAUUUACACUAAUCAUUCAACAUUUAGUACUUUUAUUUUUCAAAAUAAUUUUUUAUUUCAUUUAAUUAUUUUCUCGAUUAAAUAAAAAGUCCAAAGUCCCCCAGGGUCCCCACCCCACCCCAGCUCCCUUUUUUCCCUCGUCUUUUUCCCCGCCCCAAAAUUUUUCACUUUUCUUUCCCUCCCCCCACCACCUGUCACAUCCCCCUUUUUUCCCAUGUCUCUUUUCUCCCCACCCCCAAAUUUUUUUCACUUUUCUUUCCCUGCCCUGCCACCUGACACUUCCCCCCUUUUUUUUCCCCCGUCUCCUUUCCCCCCGCCCCCCCAAAUUUUUUUUCACUUUUUUUUCCCGCCACCUGACACUUCCCCCUCCCUCCAACAUACCAAAUCCCUUUUUUAUUCUUUUAGUUUCCUUCUCAAAAUCCUAGCAGUGCCCUUCUUCUCCUCCUCCUCCUCCUCGCCUCAGUCCUCAUCGCAAUCGUUCAUCGCCUUGCCUCCAAUCCUUCCUCCCUCGUAGCUGCAGCCUCGUCACCAAUUCAUCACACCAUCACAGAGUGAUGGCCCUCGCCUUAGUCUCUGCUCUUUCUCUCGCUAUUGCUCGCUCCCUCGUCUCUGCUCCCUCGCCCUCGCCUCCACCCUCCAUUGUCUUUGGAACACGCGUGUUGAAAUGUGUCGACAAAAAUUGACCAUGUGUCAACAAAUCCGACACGCGAUCAAUGUGAGUUGGAGCGUGUCCGAGCGUGUUGACAUGUCCAACACGCUCUGACACGCGUCAGACACAACACAGAAGCAUGUAUAAUGUGUCUGUGCUUCAUAGGUCAUGACUGCCAUGUGAUCAAGGCAGGCCUCACCAAUAAAAAAUCUGGUAACAAUCGAGAGGCUGUAAACCAGCACGAGCAAUUGAUGGGCCAAGGCCUCUCGAUUGCAGAGGUGGCACACCAAUUCCGGAAAGUCUAACAACCUUGUAAGUUGUAGUUGUAGAAUCUAGUUGGCAGGACGUAACCCGAUAUUGAGAGUUCCAACCUACAAGCUUAAACAAUUAGCUGUAGGAAUCUAGCUUAUUCAGUUUAAAUUAAUAUCAGUAGACGUCGAUAAAUAAUUAGCUAUAGGAACAUGGCUUAUUCUAUUGAAAUCAGACUAAGAUAAACGUUGAUGAUUGAAUUAAACCUUACUUUCGUCCAACCAAGACAAUCGAACUCUCUUUUAAGGGCACCUUGAUAUGAACUUUUUUCCAAUUGAUAAUUAUAUAUUGACGAGCUUAUUUUAAGAAGUUGUUUGAGUGGUUAAAUGCUUGAUUUGAACUUAUGUAAAUUCCAAGUCAAAGUCACGUCUCUCACUAAAAUUAAUCCUCAACAACCACUUGGACUACUUUGUUGAGGUAGGGCCUUAUAUGAGCAAUCUGAUUGGAUGGACUGAAUUCUAUGCAUUAUUGGGAUCGGAUGAGCUAGGUUCACAUAUCCUUGUUUUAUAAAAUAAAAGGAUAUUGACAAUCUCGAGAUGAAGUAUGUCCAUAAGCACUUAUCAUUGACUUGUUCUAGUUAAAAUGCAUAUAUGUGAUUUGUAAUAGGUGCUCAAAAUAAAAAACUAAUAAAUGAUAUUGUUGACACAAAAAAAUAACAAACUUCUGAUAAUUUAUUUAUUUAUUUGGUAUACAACUUUUGGUAAUUUAUUGACGGGUGAUAAAAUAAAUCAAUGAUAGCAAAUUUUGGUCAAAAUAAAAAUCAAUGAAGGACAUCGAUAAAUUCAGUAGUGAAGUCAUUGACAGUAGACAUCAUAAGUUAUCAGCAAAAGCCUUCACUGAUUGACAAGAUUAUUGACUCCUUUAUGUUACUGUGAAGGUAGUGGAGUCGAUGUAACCGUCAAGAUAGUGGGGUUUGGCCGUCAAGUAAUGGAGUCGAUAAUUUCAGAUGCAACCUUCAAGGAAAUUGAUAUAGGAGCUUUAUAUUCCAUCAAUCAGGUUGUAAAUUCAACACAAACCUUGUCAAUUAAUCUAGCUCAAUCCUUGCGUUUGGAAGUAAGUUAUCAGCAAGAGCCUUCACCGGUUGACAAGAUUGUUGACUCCUGUGUGUUACUGUGAAGGUAGUGGAGUCGAUGUAACCGUCAAGAUAGUGGGGUCAAUAAUUUCAGAUGCAACCUUCAAGGAAAUUGAUAUAGGAGCUUUAGAUUCCAUUGAUCAAGUUGUAAAAUUCAACAAAAACCUUGUCAAUUAAUCCAGCUCAAUCCUUGCAUUUGGAAGUAAAAUAUCGAUUUCAAUUUAAUUUGAUUGGAUGGGUUCAAGUUGACGAUGUUGAUUUUGCAAAGAAAUUGUUGAUUUAGUGGAUGAGUUAUCAAUUUCAUGGUUGCCGAUCCACUACUUAGUGGUCAAUUUACAAGACUUGUUGUCAAUUUCGAGACUCUCAAUUGACUACCUAAUGAAUGGAGGCUAUUCUAUGGAUUCCUAUUGCCGUUUGAUGACUUUCGACGGUGACUGUUCGGCUUCCAAGACUGAACGAAUUUAGAGGGUCUUAUCAUAUUUCAAUGCAUACUAUGCUAGCUAAAUGCAUUUAGUCCUAAUUAUAGUCUUUAAAUUCACAGCUUUGAGAAAGCAAAGGGAUAUUCGGUCUCGAUCUCCUCAAAAUUGGUUUCCCUUAGGCUCCUCGGGUCUUUCUUCUCUCUCCGGAUCAUGAGAGUUCAAACCAGAGAAGGACCCCUAGCAAAAUGCUCGACGUUGCUUCUCCCUCCUCUUCUUCUUCUUGAACAUCCUCAUUGACCAUCAAUCUUCGCCAAUCCUACUAGGAAUCCAAGAAGCCACAAGCCAGGCCGAAUAAGAUCCGACUCGCCCGCGGAAUCCCUUGCCUGACCCCGAUCCUAAGCACGAAGCCCCUCCCCCACCCACACACACAACUCCUCCGAUUACGUGCCCUAGCCCAAGCUCAAUCCCAACUACGUCGCCUCUCCUCCUCCAUCCCUGGCAAGGCCCCUGAGCUCUGAUCUCCAACAGCGCCUCCUCCUUCAUGCCCGCGGAGUUGAAUCCCUACAUCGCUCCUGCUCUUGCUCUCCAAUAAUCUGUUAAGAGUAAGUGUACCAAUUCGGCGAUGUGUUGCCUUCUAUGGGUUCUUCGGAUUCGAUAUUGAGGAGACCGUGGAUUGCUUUUUGGUUCUUUUGUUUGUUUACUGAUUUGUGAAUCUCAUGAAUAUGUGCCUAUACGAUGGAUUCGAUGAUGGACGUGGUUGGGAGAUAGGGAAAGAGUAAUUUCUAUCAAUGGGGAGUAUGAAUCACAUCUCAACAUAAAAGUAUCAUGCUCUCACUUGAUAUCACAAAUAAAUCAAAUGUUCAGUAUUGUUUUAAAAUUUUUGACAUGCUUGCUGAAAACUAAAAGGGGAGUCAUCAUUUGAGUGUGUAGUGCUGUGACAUGGUAUUAACACCCCAUGGAAAUUAGGAUAAGUACACUAUUAGUGUCAUAAGUUGUGUACGGCACUUACUUUGGUGUCAAAAGUUUAUGUCGGAUCACUUAAGUGCCAAAAAGUUUGAAAAACGAUCAUUUUAGUGCAAACUCCGAUAUGGUUGGCCAGAAAUCCGAUGUGACACUUUUUUUAUUAAUUUUUGAAGCUGAUGUGGCUCGCCGGAGAGUACAGUUAGCGUCCUAACACCAAAAUGAUGCCGUUUGGUGUCUCCCCUAAUUCAAAACUCUAAAUCUUUGGCCAGUAGCCAUCCUCGACGGCCCCUGUGCUCGGGAGCUGCGGCUCUGACCCCGACCCCGACCCUGACCCCGAAGAUGGCCACUUGGUGGCCACGGCUCCGACCCCAACCCCAAUCCUGACCCCGACGAUGGCCACUUGGCGGCCGUGGCUCCGACCCCAACCCCGACCCUGACCCCAACAAUGGCCACUCGGCGGUUGCGGCUUCGACCUCGACCCUAACCCCGACGAUGGCCACUCGGCGGCCACGGCUUUGACCCUGACCUCGACCCCAACCCCAACCCCAACCCCAACCCCGACAAUGGCCACUUGGCGGCCGCGGCUCCGACCCUAACCCUGACCCCGACCCCGACCCCAACCCCGAUGACGGCCACUCAGCAGCCAAGUUGAAGGCCGUGAUCUGGCUGGUGCUCGGGGAGGCCGCCGACAAGUGCGCCGCCAUUGAUGUCUCCCUCUCCAUCUCCGAUCUCCCUGAUGAGUGCUUGGCUUGUGUCUUCCAGUACCUAGGCUUCAGUGAUCGGGGCUGGUGCUCCCUCGUGUGCCAUUGAGGGCGUUUGAACAGCGCCGAGCAACGGCGGCUGAGUGAGUGACGACGGCCGAGCGACGGUGAAGGCCGAGUGAGCUAGGUUCGAAAAACCCUAAUUUCAAUCCCCAAAUUAAAAAAAAAAAUCCUCAAAUGAGUUAAACGGUGUCGUUUUUGUAAGGCCAUCCACAUAGGACGGCAAAACGACGUCGUUUUAAAGCAAUCGGAACUUUUUUAACAAAAAAAUAUAAAAGCCACGUAAUUAACCUGGCUGGAAUCUCUUACUAGUGGCACCAAAUUAAUCAUUUUUUCUUCGAUUUGGCAUUUAAGUGAUCCGAUGAAAACUUUUGGCACCAAAGUGAGUGCCAUACACAACUUAUGGCACUGAUAGUAUACUUAUCCCGAAUAUUGGCUACCAAACGAAUCUACAAGAAUCUAGACUAAUGUUGCAGUUGUUGUCACUUUGUAGAGUAAUGUUAUAAGAAAUUUAAAUGAAUUCUUGUCCUUUUUUUUAUUUUAUUUAUCAUCUUCAAGAAAGGAUGUCGGUAUUGAAGUACCUUACGAUCAUAACUCAGAAUAAUCUAAACUAAUCUUAUUGGGUCAGCAACUCUAUUAGACACUGGUCGAUCAUCUUUUUCAACUAACGUUGCCAUCUCAUUGAGGAACGUUUAAAAAUGCUGAAGUUUGGAGGCAUUACUCUCUCUAGGGCAUUAAUGAUCGAGUAUUUUCAGUCGUGACGUGGCAGGGAGAGGCAUAUUGCAUGAGAAGAUUCAUUGCUGGGUCCAUUAUUGCUCUCGAAUAAUGUUAGCAAUCCGUGCACGCUUUAUUCAACUCCUUUCUCUUCUGACAUGUACAGGCUUUAACUUGAAAGUUGCGACCAAUCCGCGUAUGUUUACGUUAGUUGGACUGCGCGAACUUGUAGGUUCGUGCUUAUUAUGGCAAAAAUAAUUAGUGGGAUGUUUCAGGGCAUGAGAGGGAGGACAUGAGGAGCUACAGUGUGCAUGAACUCUUGCUAGGUUUGGCGGACGGUGAUUUAGGCGCGCAUGGCAAAAUUUCUAUUUUAGAAAUUGAUUUCUGAUCAAAAAUUGAUUUUUCAAUUUCUAUUCCCUAGACAAGUUUCCGAGCAAAGAAUUCUGUUUGAUAACAACUCAAAAAUUUUAUUUCUAGAACAGAAAUCCAUUUGAUAACAGAAUAAAAUUUCUAUUUUUAGAAAUAGAAAUUGAUUAGAUAACAACAUAGGAAAUUCUAAAAUACAAAAUAAUAGUCCAAUAAUACUAAUACAUUACAACAAGGUGUUUCAACAGUGCAUAUCUAUUUCUAAAACUAAAAAGAAUUAACUUCUUUAACAUUGGCAUCAUGCGCAAGAAACGUUGUAUAGCAUAAAACAUUUUGCAAAUUUUUUUUUUCUAGACUUUUCAAAAAUAAAAGAACCUAAUAAGUCGGCUUGCAUGCGAAAUUAGUGAAAAUUGAGAUGGAAGGCAAGACAAAUCUUGCUUGCUCUUUGCUUCAAAGACAAGUCAAUCGAAUCAUAUGAACUUUAUAGAAAACUAAUAAAUAUUCCACAUGCGAUUGCUUUGGCAUGAAGCUGAGACAAUGAUAUGUCAUUUUGAAAGGUUACUUCUCCAUGGACUUCGGACGGUUUGGUCAUACGAGACCAGAUCGUCACUUCAGGAUUUUAGCGAGUUCCAAUCAAAACAAGGCAUAGCCGCGCCGAGGGGUGCUUCAAGCGGUAUAACAAAAAAAAAAAAAGUUGCGAGUCGAGUCUUCUGAAAAACCAUCUCUACAAUGACAAACAAGCAUGAGAGGCCUCUUGCAUUUUCGUCUACUAUUGGAAAAGCUCCCCUCGAUGACAUAUUAAAGAUGUACGCAGAAAAUGCGAGAAUCUCGCUCGUUUUCUGGGGCGUACAAGAAGCGACUCUCGAUCCAAUAAAUAAUAAACGUAUAAAUCUACUACCAAAACGGCCCCAUUCAACUAUAAGGUAUAUACAAUUGAGAUUUCAUCUCUGAUGCAUCUCAUCGGUAUGUUGAGUUCCCUUUCUUUCUGGCAAAGUCCUCGAAUGUAAACAUACCUUGGGAUCUAACUCGUAAUCAUCUUCAUCGUGACAAAAAUUGGCUUCGUCCUUGCAAUAAGCUUUGCUGAUAAUCUCAAGCUCCACAUUCAGGUAUCUGGAGUACUCGUUGAUACCCUGAUACAGACUCUGAUAACCCUUGAAUGCAAGGAUCUUUUCAGGCACAUCAUCGGUGACACUAUCAAUGCCUUGCCGUGCAGAAAUGACCCUGUCCAGGGUCUGAUCAAGCACCGUGAUUCCAAUGGUCUCCAUGUCUGCAACAAUGGCUACUGCAGCAUCCAAUUCUCCAAGGUUAAGACACAGUGAGAUGAUUUCGUCAUAUAGAGCACUGCAAAAGAAGAGGGAAAUCAUUUUUUGUAAGGUGGAUAUUACAGCCUCUUUUGCUCCUUCAAGUAUCUAAGCAUCCAUUAUAGUUCCCCAUACUUGGCAGGAUUUCGUCAUGCUAGUCUGACAGCAGAAAAGCACAUUUCGAAUUAUUUCCUACUUAAGAAGCACAUAACGUGUUAGUAUUUAACAUGUUCACGUAUUUUCCUUUGACCAUAUGUAUCGAGGUACUUUCUGCUCCCCUCAAUAACAUAGAGAUGGUAAAUGUGUAAAGAAAAAUCACCUACUCUUUUCAUGCUAGUUACUCUUGACCCUAAAAUCACACGAAUUUGAAGAGAGUAUCCCACAUGUCAAGUAGCCAAAAUUUCAAAUAAGGCCAUGAAACCCACACACGAUUGAUUUAAGAAAUCCAUUUCAAUAAACUUUCAAGAGAUUUAUGAUGCUGAAUGCGUUGGUACUCCAUGAAUAUGAUAUACCCUACUCUACAUCAAAAGGAGCAAUGGGACCACAGAAAUAAUUUCUGUUUCUAUUUCAGAAACUGAGAAACUAAAAAUUUCAGCUUUUGAUUUCUCCGAUUUCUCUAUUUCUGGAAUAGAAAUCUGUUUUAGAAAUAGAGAAAUCAAAUUACGUUACUAAACGGAUUUCUAUUCCAAACCUGUUCUGGGGAACAGAGAAACAGAAAAAUCGAGAAACGGAAAUUUUAUCACGCGCGCCCUUAGAUUCAAGGUUUACCUUUUUGUUUCAUCCUCUUUGGUGCAAAAUGAGAGAGGAUGAGAAAACUAUAGUUGAUUCCAUUAACAUGUUACACAAGCUUUUACCGUAAGCCUUUAUUGACUAAGAUUGCUUGCAAAAAAUUUCUCAGAUAAAGAAAAAAAAGUAUUGAAAAGGCGUUAGAUUUAUAUAGUGUAAUCAAGUUCUCAUAUCCAUGAAGUUUUUGAUUCAUAGGAGUAAAAUAUUCUCCUACAUGUUACUUAGGUAUUCUAUCAAUCCAUAAUAGAUUAGUCAAUUAAUUUGCAUGUUAAAGAUCAUUUAAUUGAAACCCCAUAGUUGUGAUUGGUGUGAGUUUAAGAGAGUUCAUGUUAAGUGUUUGCUUAGUAAUCCAUUAACUUUCUCUUGAUGAUUCAUUUAUGAAAAUGUCAAGAUAAUCAAUUAAAGUAAAAUGAUUUAUUUUUACUACCAAACUCUAACCAUGAUUUACACUUCAAAUAUUAUUGCAAGACAAUUUUACAUGAAUGAGCUUCUCUUUCUAGAUGAAUCAAUGUUAAGAAUUAAGCAAAUCGAGUAUAUCUGCAAUUUUCGACUAAAAAAUUGUGUCACCGAUAGUAGAAUUUGGCCACAUCGUUAUUUCAUGGGCGAAAGUGCUUUACUGCGUAUUACCAAUUUUUCACUGCUAAAAUUCCCUUGCAGAUUUUGAUUUGAUAUUUCAGGUUUCAUUUGGAAAUAUAGGCACUCGUAAUUCAAUUUCUGCAACUAUUUAUACAUAAUUAAUGAAGCAAAUGAGCAAAUAUACAAUUAAACAUAACAUACAUAAUGUGGCAUAAGCAUAAAAUAAUCCAUGCAGUUAAUAAAAAAGCUGAAAUUCAAGUAUUCAGCUAUACAUCACAUAGAGUAUCGGAAGAAAUAUAAAAUAUACAUAGGGGGACCAACCUCCUCAAUGAUUAGAAAAAAAGAAGAAGAAGAGGAAAACUCAAGAUCUUAUUAUAAUAUAAAGGUGUUCCAACCUUUUCAAUGAUCAACCCGAAAAACCCAAAAUGCAGAUCAGCAUAUAAAGGGCGGAUCAUCAUAUGAAGCUGUUCCGACCUUCUCAACUAUACCGACAUCCUUGAGAUUGAGCAAAUCCUUUGGGCUAUGAAAUCUAGGGCCCACAGGGAUCAAUUAUGGCGAGAAAAUACCACUCUUAGACUCGUGAACAAUGGGGAAAGGACAGGAAGGGCUCAUGACUUAUCCCUUUCAAGAUCACUUCAAGUAUCUCUUUUCUGCUGAAAAGAUUGUAGUAGUCGCGAAAUUCCUGAGAAGCCUAUCUUCCGGAACAUCCUGGAUGAGAACACCCUUCAUUUUAUAAAUCUCCUUCCCUCGAGAAUGGGUGUUUGAACUUUAACCUUUUACUUUAAACAUAGGAAUGCGCUUUUAACUCCACUUGUCCACCCAAAAUCAUUUUCUUAAUAAGCACAAACUAACAUAUCUUAGGUUGUUUUAUAAGAGUUUUUCUGAUAUAAAUUAUAUUAAUUGAUAUUGUAAUUUACUAUUUUACAAUAUUGAUCUAAGAUGAGACAGAAUAUUUAUUAAUUAGUCAAAUAUGGAGUUGGCUAGUAUGGGUCAAGUUAAGCUAACUCGUAAUGAGAAGGUUUGACUAGAAACUCUAUAAAUGGUAUUUAAGUAUUUCCUCUAACCCUAAUACAUAAAAUUCUCACAAAAAAAAAACGUUUAUUAAAUGUUAAGAGUGAGGGAACAUCUCAUUUAGCCAAUAUUACAGAGGACAAUAGAGGAGAAUCGCUUGCGUUUGGAUCGUUACUUUUCUGCUUUCGCAUUAAGAACGAUGGAUUCUAAAACGGGUGCAUUAAUCUUUCUAUUUGAUUAUAUGUGCUUUUGUUCUAACUAUGGAUAUCAUGGAUUGCGUUUUUGUGACUAACGUGUGACAUUGAAUGUAUAGUUUUUGCCCUUUUUUUUUUGUGAUUUUUUGUACAACAAAAAUCAAUUUUGAUUAAAUUAAAUGGAAAGAGCUCGUCGAGACGAGUGGGUGGCCCAUUGAAGGAGGCCACAUGUGCCCCCACGCGCCCUCACAUGUAGGUGAAGUUGGUAUGUGCAAUGUGUGGGCUAACAUCAUUGCAGACCCAACCCAACCCGGUGACCAACUUGAUUGACUUGACUUGAGAUUCGACUCGUUGACCCGCUCGAAUCAGUUUACCACUGACCAAAUCGGUUAAUCGGUCAGACCAUAUAGUUGAACCGAGAACCGGUUGGACUAGAAAGCAAGCUUGUGAGGCUGCCUGGGAGUGUGCUCCAUGCGUCGUGCACUCAAGUGGCACAUGCGGGUGCAUGGAGCCUUCGAUAAGCAUUUGAUUGAUGGCUGGUGCUCGUACGGUAAUUCUCUACAUUGUAGUAUAUUUAUUUUACAUGUUUGAUGAUUUUAUAUAUGUGAAAAUACAUACGAAACCAUAUAUACAUGUAUUUUAGGGUAUUUUCACAUAUUUUACUGUAUUUUUUUAUGACUUUGGAAAUACAGGUGCUGAUUUACAAAUAUAUCAUCACAUAGAUGUUGUGUAGAGUGUGAUUCAUUGAUAAUAUAUAUAUAUAUAUAUAUAUAUAUAUAUAUAAAGUUUAAAUUGCAUUAAUGAAUAAAAUAGUAUAAUUGGUAUGAUAUGUGAUUUUAAUUAUAAAUUACCCAUGUCAAUAAAGUUAAAUCUCAUGUAUAUGGUGUAUGUGAAAAGUAAAGUAUAUAUCACCGGUAUAAGAGAGUUUUGAAGAUUCAAUUGAGUUAAUUGGGUAUGAGAAAUAUCAAUCUCAGGUAAUGAUGUGAUGUUUCCUAUUCUAAUACGUGGUCAUACUCCCAAAUGAGGUGAUUAUGUAUUAGUUUGUGGAAGGAUACAUGAAUAGCAUAUGGCGGAGGAGUGAUUGAUUCUAGUGGUUCAUAUACUCAAAGAUGAUGAAUUCAUGAAGGUUAUAAUAUAUUCCCAUAACCGCUAUUAGGUGGAGAGUAUAUAAUUGCAUGUUAUAUAUUUUGCUCAAAAGUAAUUAUGUGAUUAUGCAUGUAACUUUCUAGAUGUGUAUUUGUACGUCUUUAAGUUGCAUAAUACUCACAUGAUCCUAAUUAUACACAUUGCUUACUUUUUCAGUUACUUUUUUUUUUUUUGUAAACGCUAACUCCAUUACUGUUGAGGUUUUUAUUGGUUCAAAUUUUAAGAGAUGGUGAGAGGUUUUUUGUUUGGUAUGGAGAUGACAGAUGUUUAUAUUGCGUUUAUUGUUGAUAAGCCAGUAAAUCUUACUGCUGAAAGUAUAGAAGAUCAGAAAACACAAUUUGCUGCUUGGGAAAAGCAAUCAAAUUUGCUUAGUAACACUUGAAAAGUGGUUUAUUUGUUGAUUGCACUACUAUACAGAUGAUAAAAGUCUUAGUGGCUAGAAAACGUGUCUCGUCUAAUGCUGAGAUAGGGACACACUUUCGAGUACUCUUUAAUAUGAAGUAUGAUUAUUCUGGUAGAGUUAGGAUUAUAUUUUGAAGAUGGUAGAUCUGUAGAUAAAACUUUAGACUUUUAAUGUUGCUAUUCCCUAUGCUUACAUUUACAUCAAGCUUUAAACAAUAUUUCUCAUGAUUUUGGGAUUAUCAAGAUUAAUUUUAAUUCUUAAGAUGAGACCUAGUCAAUUAAUAACUUGAUUGUAAGGGUGGUUGCAGAGGAAGAGAAAUUGAAGAAAGAUAAAGAGCACAUUGCCCUUAAUGCCUCUAUUUCCGACAAUGAGUGGGGUAAGAGAUUAAAAAAUUAUACUUAUAAGGGAAAUUCUAAAGCCGUUGAUCUUUUCAAUCAUAAAGGAAAUUUUAAAACUGCUGGUCAUUCUAAUAGUUUGGGUCCUAAGAUAGCACUCUUAAAAAAGGACGGUGUUCUUUGCUACUUUUAUAAGGAGAGAGAAUAUGUAAAGAAACAAUAAAUAUAAAACUUGGUUGUCCAAGAUAACCAAUAAUGAGUCUAAAGACAAUGAUUCUUUGGUAUUUGUUUGUAAAUCCAACCUAUUUGAAACCCCAUCUAAUUCUUGGUGGCUAGAUAGUGGUACAACUAAUCACGUUGCAUUUACUAUAUAGGGGUUCAUAAACUGAAGGAUUUUAAUGAAUCAAAGCUUAUUGUAGGAAACAACAUUAAAGUCGACGUCGAAUUCAUUGGAGAUGUUAUUUUGAUUUGAGAUUUUGGUUUUAAGUUGAUGUUAAGAAACACUUUUUAUGUACGAAACUUAGCUUUUGUAUCUUAUUUUGACAUGUGGGGAUACUCUUUUGAAAUAAAGAGCAAUAUCAUUUUUAUAUUUUUUAAUUCAAAUAAGGUUGGGUGCUACAAUUUGUCUAAUGAAUUGUACUAAUUGUGUUUAUUUCCCAGUGAUAUGUAUGCCACUUAUUCAUAUGAAAAUGUUAUUUCCAAAAGACCUAUUCCUAAUAAACAAUCUUAUGCAUUGUGAUAUAAAUGUUUUGGUCACACCUCUAGAAAAAGAAUAGAAAUGUUGAUAAAAGCUGACAUCCUACUUAUUCUUAAAAUUGAUCUAGAGUCUUUUAAGAAUAGCUAUUUCAUAAGUAAAUAAUCUAUUAUAUAUUACUAAUUAACUAAACUAAUAUAUCUUGUUUGGUUCCACGUGGAAUCAGAUUAUCAAAUGUGGAAAGAAGUUUUACUUUUGGCCUUAAUGUUUGGAAAAAAAAUUUCAAUACUUGUUUGGUGUAACGCAGAAUCAGAUUACUAUAAAACAAGAUAAGAACCGUCAAAAGUGGAAAGAAGUUUUGCUUUUGGCCAUAAUAUUAUGAAAGAAACUAAGGGGUGCAUGAUAAACUAAAAUUUAUAUUCUAGAAAUAAUUUUUCUAUUUUAGACUUGUUUGUUUUUGGAAUAGAAAUUCGUUUACUCAUUUUUCAAUUUCUGAAAUAGAUUUUUAUUCCAUAAAUAGAUUUGGAAUAGAAAUUAAAAGUAAAAAUUUUCUACUUUUUUAUUUUAUUUUAUUUCUAGAACAUAAAUGAGAAAUAAAAAUUCUUUUCAUUGUUUGUCCUUGCUACGAAUAGGUCGUUCAUCUGUUGCCGCCAACUAUCGUCUGUCGGUCGCCGGUUGCUGGUCGCCCACCGCUAGCCGCUGGCCAUUGUCAUCUGAAAGGGAGAAAUUUUGUGUUGUUAUCAAACGUGAAUUUAUGCUUAGAAACUCAUCUAGAAAUAGAAAUAGAAAAAUCUAUUUCUCUUCCAGAAAUCAAUUUCUGGCCAGAAUAGUUAUCAUUCGUGCCCUAAAUUUACAGGCAUGUGAUUCUCUCUCUCCUCCUCUCAACGUUAAUUGAGAGACAGUAAUGUUGCAGAAACAUAGCCAUGUGAAUGAGGUAGACAAGAGGGAAAAAAUUAAAUGUACUUGGUGUGCUGCCACAGAAAAAAGCAACAGCAAACAAGGAAGGAGAGCAGUAACUAUUUGUCCGUGGAGGCUUGAACCGUGCAAGAGAAUGAGACUCUCCAGAUUACUUGACCAAGGGUUCAAUGGACCAAAUGAAUCAUGACCAUUUAUUUAAUGGAUCUCGCCUCAAUUUCUCGUGAGUCCCACCAAAUUAAUAGUUGUUUUCAAUAUUUUCUGAAUUUAUUUUAAAUGUUCUUUGAAAGUGGUUGAAUUUUCGAAAACAUUUUGAAUUUUUGUUACUUUCGACAAAGUUUGAUUUUUUUUUGAAAUUUUUUGAAAAUUUUUGAAAUUGUUAAUAUUUAAUAUUUUUUAUUCGGAAAAAGGGUUUGGACCGAGUAGACCCAAUCCGACCCAUUGACCCGACCUAAUCUCGGAUCCAACACUGUCAGAUUAAAAAAGAAAUUUAUUUUUUAUAUUUUUAAUGAUUUUUUUCUUUCUUUUGUCUUUUCCUCACUUUGCCCUUUUCCCAGCACCUUUUGCUCAACGGUCCUUUCCGAAGCCAACUUUUGCUAUUUUAUAGUUUUCUACUUUUUUUGUUCUUCUUUUUUCCUUUUUUUUAAUUCUUUAUUCUUUUUUUCUCUCUUUUUUUUUUGAACAACAUUCUUUUUUUCUCUUUACUUCAUCCCUUUUCCCGGCGAUGGAGGCAUCGGAAGGAGGGGCAAAUUUCUUUUGUUUAUACUUUUUUCUUUGCUAUUUUGUGGCAAAUGAAAUGAGGCCAAGCAAAUCUAGGGAAAUUAUCAAAAAAGUCAUAAUUGUAUAGUACCUGAGUCAAUAUAGUCAUAAAUAUUUUAAUUUAGUCAAUUUAGUCAUGAGGUUUUUUGACGGUUUAUCAAUGUGAUCAUUCCAACCAAUUUUGAUUAGAAAUCACUGACAUGAAUUUUGGUCGUCCUACAUGGUAUGGAAAUAGUCCAAAAAACUCUGUACUUUGGGCCACGAAAUUUUCAUAGCUAGAGCAUUGUGGCAAGAAAAAUAUUUACUUUUGAUGUCAGCAUGUUUCGUUGUUGAAUAGUCGUCACAAAGAACUUUGCACUUUUAGGGAUGACAUAUUUGGUUGCUAAGGGUCCAUGUGUUUUUCACGCAUCAAAAAGAUAAAAUCGUCCCUAUUAUUAUAAUCAGGCCACAUUUUCUGGGGCUAUUUGGCUUCGAAAAUUGCAUCGAAAAUUGCGUUGCUAAUGGUAUAAUUUGGCCCAUUGUUUUUUCAAAGGCUAAAAACUGCUUUGCUGCGGAUCCAAAUUUGCUAGGAGUUUUCAUUGCUAAAAGUCACUUGCAGAUUUCGAUUUUAUAAUUCAUGUUUCAUUUGGAAAUCUAGGCACUUAUAAUUCUAUAUUUCCAGCUAUUUAUACAUAAUAAAUGAAGCAAAUGAGGAAAUAUACAACUAAACAAAACUUGAUGCGGCAUACGCACAGAAUAAUCCAUGCAGUUGACAAAGGUGCUGAAAUUCAGGUCCAGCUAUACAUCACAUGGUGCAUUAGAAAAGAUAUACACACACACACACAUAAAGUGGCUCCACCUUCCUCGAUGAUCAACCAAAAAAACAAAACGAAGAUCAUAUCAGCAUAUAAAGGUGAAAACACCUUGAUCAGUCCUAACGUUUUUUUCUUUUUUUUGGAUUUAAUAAAGACCAUAAUAGUCUCAUAUACUGUUUUUUCAAUUUCUUUUUAUUUAAACUCAAGUUGACGUCUACACAACUUGAGUAUAAGGGGGAAUCAUGAGAUAUUUAGGAUAUUUUUCAUAUUUCUCAUAGUUAUGCAUAUAUCUUGGAGAUUCUACAUAUCUUUGAUUAUGCAUAUCUUAAUUAAUUGUACUUGAUUGAAUACCUUAAUAUAGCCUAUUUCUAUACUACUAGUUAGAAAAAAAAUUCAAUAUAAAAUUAUACAAAAAUUCCACAAUUCUUCCUUCCGCAUAUUUUUAUUUUCGAAAAAAAAAUCCAAAUCCAAAUCACCCUAUAAAUAGUGGCCCACCUCGAUAAUCAACACAAAGGAAAAAAAAUUGAAAUCACUAAUAAGCACCUACAAAGAAUACAAUUGGAAGAUCAAUAAAAGAUAAUGCAUGUAAAAAUAUAAAUGAAAUGAUUUCUUUUAUUUUGGAAAAAAACGAAAAAUCUAGAAAACAUUUUCCUAAUAUUAAUGGCUUAUAUCUCUUGAAUCAAUUAAUUAAUUUUUUUUAUUAUUGACACCAAUUUCUUUCUAAAUGUUCUCAUGGACGAUGGAAUAUUAAUCUAGAAAAAAAAAUGCAAUCCUAAUUUAGGAAACUAUCCUAUCUAAUAUAUAAUUUGAUUUUUUUUUUUUUGGUGUUUUCAAAACAAUCAAUUACCAAUUAUAAGAAUUAUAUACAAUCCACUCAAGAUAUUUGUUGAGAAUUGAAAUAAAGGGUUAAAAUAAUCGAAAAAAUAAUUCAUUGUCUCACGGAUUAAAUUAAUAAUUAUUCUAACCCUAAACAUCACAAUAUGCAAGAAAAAAUCAAUAUAACUAAAAAAAUUAAUCCCAAAUCUCAUGAAUCAAAUUAAUAAUGAUAAUGAUUUUAAAGUUAAAACAUCAUCAAUGCGCAAAAAAAUCAAAAUAAUUAAAAAAAUUGAUUCACAGUCUUAGAGAUUAAAUUAGCAAUUAUAGUGAUUUUUUGCCAAUAAUAUCUUAUUAGAAUGCUUAACUAUUAAUAUCAAAUAUUUUCAUUUAGGCGAUGAUAUCGAGAUGAGAUUUGGCUCAAGAAAAUUACCUUAUUUGGAUUAUUUGCUACCAAAACGGGAUUAGCGCCAAGGAUUCACAAAUGGCAGUUUGCGUCGGGACAAGCUCAGCUGUGAUGGGCUCACGACCAAUGAACCUGCAAGAAUAGAAAGUUCACAGAAUCGACUCGGCUUGGACACGAACGGGAACAUCGGUUGGCGUCGGGGUCUGGAUGGCAGCUUUGUGACUACGGACAACGGGCAUUGGAAAUGUUGCUGGGGGGCAGCGAAAGUAGAAGUAGCAAACGACAUUGAGGUGGUCGGGCUUGGGACAGCAGCGAUGGUGUUGGGCGGAGGCGCGAUGACGGGCGAUUCGCGGCAUCGGGGAGCUCCGGAUGAAGAGGUCGACGCUGGACAGGGAGGACGCGGGUGGGCGCACAACCUUGAGCAAUUCCGGCAGGGACAGGACGUUUUUAAUCUUCUUGGGCGAGGGUGAGGCGAGCAAGUCGGCGGCACUCGGGGCAACAGCAGUUGCGCCGUUUGUGAUGGUAGCAACGGCGGCGUUUGGAGCAGCGGCAACGACAAAAAGGCGGUCGCGGUUAUGGGCAGCGUUGUCGAGUUGGUCAGAGAGGAUGAAGAACAAGACUUCCCCUCCCCUUUCUUUUUUUCUCUUUUUUUUUUUCCUUCCUUUUCCUGCGUGUGGGCUGCCGGUGAAGGGUAGGCGGUCUGGCGAGGGGGAGGCGGCACGGUGAAGGGUAGGCUGUUCGGCGAGGGAGAGGCAGCGUGGCAAAGGGCAGCGUUCGGCUAGGGUCAUUGUGCGGAAGACAUGGCGUGGCGAGGGUCGCGACAAACGGGAUCUUGCGAUUUGGGUCUCUGCGAGCCUCGUUGAGCCAUAGUGCGACCCACCGCACUGCGGAGGUUGUCGGCGCUCGCGAUCCGGUCGCUGUGACCCAGAUCAUGAGAUCCCGAUCGCUGUGACCCUCGUCGAGCCGUCAUGUGACCCACCAUGCCGCGGAGGUCGCUAGCGCUCGCGAUCUAGUUGCCACGACCCAUAUCUGCGCAACUAGAUCUGUGCACGAUUUGGGUUGCCGGCGUCCUUCGUAGGGCGACCCUCGUUGGAGGGUCGUGGAACCCUAACUAGACCACCUGCCCUUCGCUGCACUGCCUACCCUUCAUCGGACCACCUACCCUUCGCCGGUGAUUGCGUAUAGAUGCUAGCCGUGUUCUCAGUAGAGAGAAGGGAACGAUGAAGAUGAUCAACAAAUGUCAGGGUAAAGACGAAAAAAAAGAAAAAUUAACGAAGACAAUUUCGGAAGAAAAAACUUAUUACCUUCAAAGCCAGCAUGCUGGGAAUGCCCAAGGUAGCCCCCAACCUGCCUUGGGCUUUUAGCCUUGGGAAGGCUUUGCCUUUAGCAAAGGCAAGUGAAAAAAAAUUGCCAAAUACUUAAUAUUUGGCCCACAGGCCUUUAGCCCCCCAAAAACCCUUGGGAAAGCAGUUCCCAAACGAAGCCUUUGUCUGUUUGUGAACGACUUUUAUAGGUGAGGGACUAAGGUUUUUUCAGAAUAUUUUAUUUCCUUUUUUUGCCAGAUUCAAACUUCCUCUGUCAACAUGCGUUAAAUAUCACUUUUGCUCGCCCACAUGCGUUAAAUAUCACUUUUGCUCGCCCGUAACCUCAAGAAUAUAUAUUUUCAAAAUAUGUGUCCCUACAUGCAAUAUUUCUUUUUAUUUUCCACAUCUCUUCUUGCCUUGUUUGAUUUCCCCUUUCUACAUUGGACUGUGCAAAAAAUGAAUAUUCUCCACCUACCACGCUCCGAUCCUCGGGCACGCACCCAUCCCUUAACUGGUUGAUUAAUAGCGAUGUCCUAGAACGCAUCACCGUUUCAUUCAUUUUGUGACAUACGCAUGUAGAAGCAAAUAAAAUAAUCCCCAAAUAAUAAAAUAAUGGGAUAGAAAAGUAGGGCUAUAUUUUUCACAACUGAAAAACCACAACCACACUUUUAUACAAGGCAAACCUCAUAGUAUAUAUUACAAUAUUAUUAACAAGUCAGAUCUAUCACACAUCAAAUCACAACUUAAAGUCUGCAAAACAAGGUCGGGGUUUAAAUCCUCAUUCGGGUCAUACUCUGGAUCAUCCUUGGGAUCCUCCUCGGACUCCUCCUCGGGUUCCUUAUCGGGGUCCUUCUCUUCGAGUUCUUCCUUCUUAGGUUCCUCCUCCAGGUUCUCUUCUAGGUACACCUCUUCUUUUUCGACCUCUCAUUCUUCUAUGUUCUAGCUGGAGUCUACUGCUGAUUGCUUGGGAGAGUUCGGGUCACUCUCGAGCUUAGGGUCUUUAGCAUUGGUCACUGCUUCGUUCUUGGGAUCUGCAGUCUCUUCUCAGAAUGCUGCCUCUAAAACGAACAGAGGCACAUCACCCUUUGGUACGAGACCCUCUCUUCGCCCAUCAUGGUAGUGACGAUACCACAACCUACACUCAUGGGGCACCAAGGCAUCUUUGCCCACGUCAAUCUAUACACUGGAUUUUACUAAAAUAUACUCUAGUCCUUUCGGGUGAGGGUGUAUCGGGAAGUGGUACCCUAUCUCGGUGAUCUUCUCGGGUAUACCAAAAUGCAUGGGAGGACGAGGAGGUGAAAGUGUUGCUAUCUAGAGACUUGAAAUGUUGUCCCACAACCGGGAUGAGACUAUGUUUCAGCAAGUUCUAUCCCCUAAGACUCGAUUAGGAAGCUAAUACACAUUAGGGCUGCCUAGCAUAACACGAGUCAGAUGACUUACCUUGGCCUCAGCCCCUUCUUGCAAGUCAGUUUAAUUCAUAAUUACUGACAGAUAUAACAUCCAAUCAAAUCAGAUCGAAUCAUUGAUCAAUCGAUCUAGUCGAUUACAUGUCAAUCAGAUCAUUUCCUGGUCAUUCUAAUUCGUAUUAUGCAAUUUCCAAGAUGAUAUAUAUUUAGUCAUCGAGCCACAUGCAUUCUUAAAGGCGACGUAUUUGUCACCGAGUCAUAUGCAUUCUCUGAUAUGACAUACUUAAUCACCAAGCCCCGUGCAUUCUCUAAGGUGACGUACUUAAUCACCGAGUCACGUGCAUUCUCUAAGAUGAUAUACCAAAUUAUCGAGCCAUGUGCAUUCUCUGAGGUGAUGUACUAAUCACUGAGCCACGUGCCCUUUUCAAAGGUAAUGUAUUUAAUCAACGAGUCACGUGCAUUCUUCAGGAUGACACCCUUGGUCUUCGAGCCACGUAAUACAACUUUCUUUUUCACCACUUUAUAUAGCCCACUAAAACAUCGAUGACGCUAUAGACUGAAGCUUAGUUAUUUCUCAAUCAAUUGCUGAAAUUAAAUAAUAUAGGAAUAAAAUCCUAAAAUCAUAUUUAAAUCAAAUUAGCACGAUUUAGUGCUCAAAUAAAUAAAUGGACUGCACCACAACAAUCAGCAUAAAAUUUCGAUCGUCGACUAUCCCAACCUAAUUUCCGGAAAAUAAAUAAAUAAAUAAAUAAUUAUGAAAAUUAUUAAAUAAAUGCAAUAAAUCCAUUUAUGCUUGUAAUGCCUAAUUGGAUGCCAAAACAAACCCAGAAAAUUUUCGAGAUUUGAUCAAUAAAUACUAGGACCUAUUUCCUUGCAAACUACACCAAUCAUUUGCCUUGCAUGCAUUGAUAAGUUUCUAAUUUAAUUACUCUAAUUUAAUCUAUCCAUGUAAUUGUACUUAAUUAAAUCUAAUCAAUCUCUAAGCAUCAUUAGCAUACUAAGCAAGGUUAGUGAGAAAAACUCACUUGUUUAACAAAUGGGUCGGAUCAAACUGACGGGAACGUCGCGGGGGACGAUUCUUCUUAAAGUGGGCCUAGGUUUCGAGGCCUGGAAAACCUCUAAAACGGGCCUAGAUGGUGGCUGGAAACCCACUAAUAUUUUGUUCUGUUCUUGUUGAAACAGAAGAGAGCAAAGCCGGUUUAGAGUGGAAAUCGAUUGGGAAAGGGGAAAAAGGGCAAACCAGGCCUUGGUGGGGUUUACCGGCGGCUGAGCUCCACAAACUGUUGAACAGUGGUUGGGACGGCGUGAGGAGCAGAUGAGGGAUCGGGGUCGAGUAGUGAGGUGGCGAGCACGUGCGGUGGUCACGGCGGUGUGCGGCAUGGAGGGGCGGCUGUCCGGCAUGGUUGCUAGCUUCUUGCUAGCUGUUGGGAGCGAAAAUGGUGAGGGGAAUGGAGAAGAGGUUGGCCGAUUGAGGACUAGAGGGAGAGAGGAAAGAUCUAGGGGACCAAGGGCUUCACCACUUGCUUAUUUUUCAUUUAAUUGUCCCCUUUGACCAUCAAACACCACACACACCUCCUUGGCUACAAAUCAGCCAACCAUGCACCCCUCACAACCUUUGAAGUGGUCCAAAAGGCUAGGCAAUGGGGGACAUAUGAAUUUACAAGCAAAUGGCUUCAAUUGGACUUAGUUUCUUGUUUAAUUCAAUCCAAUUUGACUUCAACAAAUUCCAUUAUCGAGUCCUUGAUCCAAUCGAUAUUUUUCCUCACCAAUAGAUCCAUCUUGCAUCUCAAUUUCGCGAUAAAAAACAGUCAUCGGCUUUUUUUGAACAAAAAUGGUCAUAUGCCGACUUUUUCCCAAAAAGUCUCAGGUUUCAGAAAAAUCUUCUGAGAUUGAGUCGACGUUCCUAGAAUUUAUUGUGACAUGACAGAAUCUUCAAUUUAUGAAAUCGGACCUGAAUUUGCAGUUAAUUUCACUUAGACACGUUUUUAGCGUGACCUAGACUACCAGGUAGUUUUCGGAGAUUUUUAGUGCAAAUGACCCGUGGUCGAUUUUCUUUGAGCCAUAAUGAAUCAACUCGACAGAUUGGUAACUCUCAGUUAUCGUGAAAAUCUCGAGGAUUCAAAUAUAGACACCGAGUACCAAAACGACAGAAGAUUCAGUCUAGGGCUGGUCGACGAGAAUUUUUCAAUUUAGUGGUGUCAUCCAUGAUUAAUCACAUAUCUUAGUCGAACAGACCUAUCUUUGAUCUCAAAUCAAUUUUUAACUGUGCCGUAAUGGCCUCUAAAGAUGAGCACGGUCAAGAAGUCAAUUUCUGGUCUAAUUCUCAAAUCUAUUGCAUUAAAAUUCCUUAAUAACUUACUUGAAUAGUCUAGUUAUCUCGAGAGUGAUCAGCUCUGAGAAUAACCUUAUAGGUGCGUCGAUGAAAUGCCCAAUUUAUUCAAUAGAAAACAGAAGUGAAAAUCUGGGAUGUCAUACCACCCAUAUUAUUUGAUCAAGCAUUGCCAAAAAUUCAAGAUUAUAAUAGAAUUUUUCCAAAUUCCAUAUAAAAAUGAGCUUGCAAUAUCUCUUUCUUAGGAUAGCCCUUAUUGAGGAUAUAUAAAAAAAAUUACGUGAAAAUAUGAAAAAUCCCCCGUCAUAUAAUCUAAUAUUGGAAGAAUAAAACAAAUUCUUAUUGAAAUAUGCCUAUCUUCCAACUCAUAAAAUUAAAGCUCAUUUGUCAUCAAUCCAAUGUAAAUGCAAUAAAAAAAAUGCUCUUAAAACUAUAUAUCAUGAAAUUUAAUUAUAAUAUUUUUUUUUUACAAAUUAAAAGUUAUCCCAUAAUUUUCUAUACAACAAAUGAAAGAUUGGAUUGCGAAAAAUUUAGGUGUCAACAUUUGACUUAGAUCAAGUUGCGUCUACUUUACCAUGUUGAUAGCCUACUGGCAGGAUUCUAGUAAAUGAUUAACAAGAGAUUCCAAUAAUGAAUGAUUACACUCUGUUUAUAAUAGGCCACUCUAUCUUACUUAGACACUCUUUUUGUACUUCUCUUAGGAUCACAAAAUUAAAGCCCACGGUAGACAAGCAUAUGGUAGAAGUUCAAUCAAACAUUAGAAUUCUAGAUUCUUGCCCAUCUUUUACUUGCUCCUUGGCACCUUAGUCUCCUUAUAUAUGCCUCCACUUUCAAACUAACCGUUGGACAUCUCUAUAAGAUUUUCUUUCAAUCUACCAGUUGAAUAGAUAUGCAUAAAAAAAAUUGAGUUACUAGUAACAAAAUAUGAAUCUCCACGACUAGUAACAAAAUAUGAAUCUCCACUUAAUUCUAGCUGCCCAUACAACCAAAGUGUUGGUUUUCAUAAAUAAAGCUUCUCCAUAUAGAAAGAAUUUGUCUCAAGAUUGAAUUAUCAACCAAAUAAGAUGUUUUGCUUUACAAAAUUGGUUUGAAAAAUAAUCUUUAAGAUUAAGUCAAUCAAAUCUUUCAAAGUGUGAAAUCCAAGGCAAAUCAUUAGCCUUUAUAUAUACACUCUAGACUAGUGUCACGUUCUAAAAUUGUGUCAUGUUUUGAACUUGCGUCUCAUUUUGAAUUUGUGUCACGUUGUUAGCUUGUAUUAGAAUGGGAACAAAAGUAGUUCUCUAAAUCUGAAGUUUUUUCAUCUUCAUUGUAAAGUCCAAAUCUCAAUCGCUUAAAGUAGAUUCUACAAUCUGGAUAUAAAUCUGAACACGAUUAAGAUUGCUAUAAGCUUUUCUUUUGCGAUUAUUUCCUUGAAUCAACAUACUUCAAGAUGUUUAUUGACUUAUUGAAUAUGACACUCAUGGAAAAUUUGUCAACUUCAAAAUUUAUUCGGAAGUUUUUUCAAUAUGUUACUGUUCAACUUGGAAACAGACUGCCGCAAUCCUACAUCAUUGUGUAACCAUUUUCUUCAUGUAUUUGGGUUGGCGACGUUUCUUCCUCCCCUUGAGGUUCAUUCCAGCUAGCCCUAGAAGAGGGGAAGAGAGGUUUGAUUCUCAUGCACUAGUCACUGAGCAAACAGAAAAUUAUCUUCAUUGAAAACAACAUCACGAGAAACCAAUAAUUCUUCAAUUUCCCAAAUAAAAAACUUUUCGACCCUUCAUUCCGUCUGGAUAUCCAGAAAAUACACACUUUCAUAUCCUUCCUUCAAAUUGCCCUUUGCCCUUUGAUGGUUCGUGAGCAUAGCACAAUGUACCGAAAGCUCACUAAUGACUUCUCAAACAAAAGAUUGAAAGGUGUUUUUCCGAAUAGUAACAGAGUCGGAGUAUAAUUGAUUAAAUAAGCAGCGGUUUAUGUGCAUUCUUUCCAAAAUCGAAUUGGUAAAUUCGCUUGAAAACGAAGUGCUUGUGCUACUUGAGAAUAUGUUGAUAGUUUCUUUCAACUCACCCAUUUUGCUUUGCCAUGUAAGUACAUGAGGUCUGAUGCAUGACUCCACUUCUUUUAAAAAAAAUAUAUCCUUCAUGGAAUUAGAAAGAAAUUCACGGAUACUAUCAUUUCAAAUUAUUUAUACUACUUGCCCAAAUUGGAUUUUUAUCACAUGAUAAAAGUUCACAAAAACUUUAUGCAUCUCUGAUUUUGUCUUCAUCAAAUAGGCUCAAAUUUCUUGACAAUAGUUAGAAAGUAAUGUGCACCCGAUAGUUAGAGACACGGUCUUAUACGGGCCCCAAACAUCACAAUGCAAAAAAUAAAAAAUUCCAUCAGCUUUAUUAUUACUUAAAAAAAAUGAAAAUCAAGUUUGUCUCGCACAACACGCAUCUACAAACCAACUCCUUCAUUUAUCUCAAAUCCAAUCUUCAAAUUCAAAGCUUGCAAUGAUGGGUGUCCCAAUCGUCGAUGCCAUAUGUCAAUAUCCUGCCCCUUGAUGGCUUGGAAAAGCUGAAUGAGUGCCUAUACGUCAAAUAUAAUAAACCCUUAAAAUUACCCACUUUAAUCAAUCUCUUCAAGGCUAGGACCUGUAUGACACAUCGAGAAGAGAAGAGUGUCACCGAGCAUUGCAAAUUCGAACUCAACUUUCCAACAAAAAUAAGGUUGCACUUAUGGUUUGGGACAUACAACACACCAUACAAAAUAAAAUCAGGGCUUAAGUAGCCAUCACCUCUUUUGGUAGAGAAAGUCAAUUUUUAUCUCAAGUUUGUAUACGAUAUGCCCCCAUUAUGUUCCUUGGUUGUUUCAGAAGCAAAUUUUGCCCUGUCAUAUGUUUGGAGGCUCCUCUAUCAAUAAUCCAAUUUGUGAAAAUAUCACUGGGCCAAUAGAGCUUACUUGAGAGUUGUUCGAUAGAAGUGGGCAGUUUCAUUGCUAUGAGCAAACUAACUAAAUGCUAAUAUACCCAAUCAUGGGCAGCGCAGUUGGUGUGCGUUCUAUCCCUCAUCGCCAAGAUUGAGGGUUCAAACCCUCUUAUUACUAAAGUGUCUUAAGUGGGGCCCUGGUGUUGGGGUCUUAGGUGUUGACACCUAAAUUUUACAAUUUUAUUAUGUACAAGAUUAUGAAUUAGUCACUAAAAAAAAAAAAAAGCAAACAAAACAAUAAAAAAAAGAAAACAAAAACAAAAACAAAAAAAGAAAAAGAAAAAGAAAACAUGGAAGGGGUUGGGCCGGAUCUCGCCUUGGCUCGGCCCAUGCCGCCUUCUCCCUCUUCCUCUUCGUGCGUGAAACCCUAGCACAAAGGAGAAGACAGGAGAAAAAAACCAGAGAAUACAGCAACAGAGAGAAACUGGAAUAGAGUGUGAGAAAAUAAUGAGCAAGGAGGAGAGUUCGAAAGAGAGAGAGAGCUCGAGGGAGAGAGGAGAAAAGGAAAGAGAAAACUAGAAGGAAGGGUGGUGCUGUUGCCGCCGUCGUCGCCACCGCUGUUGUCGCUACCGCUCGAUUGACGUCGACCCCGCUGCUGCUCGACCGAUGCCGACCCCUGCCGUUGCUCAUCCACCGGUCUUUGCUGCGACCUGUAGUUGCCAAGCCUCAGCUCGCCGCCCUCCUGCCCAAGCACCAGAUCCCGAGCCCCUGCGAUGCCACCUCUACUCUGGCCCUGUCCGUGACCCAGCAUCAACGCCUGCUGCUUCAGUUGAAUCACUGACCACCGCCACUCAGCCAGUCAUUCGCGACUGCCCAACUCCGACCUACAUUUGCUCCGCCUCGCCAACAACCCUGCGACACCGCUACUCUACCUUCGCCGUGCCCCGAAGCCCGCAACUUGCUUCGCCUUCGCCUCACCUCCAUCUGCAACGGCGACGGCCCCCAUGCCAGCAGCUGAGCCUACCCUCCUUCGUGCCAGCUGCUCCCGUUUCCACUUCGUUGGUCUCCAUCCACCACUGCAGCACCAGUCCAACCCUGUCGCAGCACCGGCCUGUCGUCGCUGCCACCUGCCGUGUUGUCGGAGCCACCCGCCGUGCCGCUGCCACCUGCUGUGUCAUUGCCGCUGUCAAGCCCAGCGUCACGAAGGAGUAGGGGGAGAGAAGAGGCAGAAUCGGGUUGAGCGAGCCCUCCAAACCGGGUAGGGUUUGGUCUUCGAAGUGGGUUGGGCUUGGGUCGCUCUUCGAGUCGGGCUUCGGAUUAAGGUAAAUUGGGUUGGGCUCUCGCGGGCUUAGGAAAUAGGUGGGCUUUUUAAUUUUCUUUGGGCCCUGACUAAAGUAUUAAAAAAAAAAGGAAUUUUAGGCUCACUCGGGCCUGUUGCUACUGACUGGGCCAAGCUCGAGUUCGGUCGUAGAUGGGACUCGGCCAGCAUUGACCGAGCUGAACUUAGGUCGGGUUAAACCCAACUUGACCCGUCCCAAAAAAAAAAUUAUUAUUUAAAAAAAAACAAUUUCGGGAAUCCAAAAAAAAAUCAAAAAUUAUUUUAAAACAAUUUUUUAUUUUUUUUUUAAAUUUCGAAAAUUAAAAAAUGAUGGGGUUUGAUUAGGACUUGUCAUGUAUUGCCAUUUUAGUGUAAUUAGACUUUUAUUUGCUCGUAUAUUAAUUAUGUUGCAUGUUUUAUUUGCAUAUCUAAUUAUGUUUAAUUGCACGUAUCUAAUUUUGCUGCAAUUAGGAUCUUGAUAGCAAUGAAUGUUAUUUUAAUGUUUGCGCACCUGCAUGAUCACCUCACAUGUUAAUGGAUAGGUAAAAAUCGAUUCAAACUGUUUGACAAAAAUAUUUUCUCUUAAAAUGAACAAGAUUAGGUACCGAAAUGGCACUAAUUGGUUAAUUAGUGUAAUCAAGUCCCCGUUCCUAGAUUUUCUGGUUGCAUAGGAAGUGAGGUAUACUCCUAUACCUCACUUGAUUUUUAGUCGACCCCAAUAGGCUAGUGGCGACUCCUUUUGUGCAAAAUUCCUGAAAAAUAUCACAAUGUCACGCGGGGUAUGGGUUUAGGAGAGCCCCCGCCUAAGCAUGGACCUUAAGCCCGUCCUUUAGGCUUUACCCCUAAACCUUUUUCCUCUCCCCGAAGGUAGGUCGCAACAGCUUGGCGACUCCACUUGGGAUUUGGUUUUAGACCUUAGAGGACUUAGGCUAAAAUUAAUCUUGUUUAAAAAUAUUUUUAUUUGGCAGCGAGGAUUCCAGGUACGUCCCUAACAUUAAAGGUGUUAAAUGUUUUUACAGAAUGGGAGGUAUAAGGGGAAGUGUUUGCUCACCUUUGUCUUGCAGUGAGGCGUAGAAUAUGAAGUGCUGAUUGCUUAUAAAUUGUCAUGCCUGUGUUUCCUACAUUGCACUACACCAUAGCACACACAACUAGCUGUCGGACUUGGGCCGCAUAGGAUCACUUAGGAUGGUGUUGAGGUGGAUACCACUCUGACUACAACCGCGUAGUACGAGUUGCCCACCUCUACCCCGAAAUUUCUUUCUUCACGUCGAAGGUACCCACCCCGGUCUGCGAGCAUACGACACGGGUCGGUUCUUUGAUGAAGCCGGAGUCAUGGGUAACCCGACCUAGCCGCGACCUUGUUGGUUCGGUCCGGUGAUCCUAUGGCUUCAUUUUGAGCCAUAUAGAGUAGAAAUCGAACCACAUCUUAUGUGCAUGUCCAUGUAAAAAAAAAGAAAAAAGACAAAGGUUGGCACCCAUUGUAAGUGUCAUUUUCCUUUUUAUUUGCUCAUUAUGUAUUGCAUUUUCAUCUUGAAAUUCGCGGAAAUCAAUCGAAUACCCUCGGUGAUGCAAGCUUAUGAUUGAAAAAUUGGCAAUCACUUUUGACAAGUGAGCAUUUGAAUGCAAUUUCUAAACAUUUUGAUUUGGCCCUGUUGAACACAUGGUUUUGUUUAAAUUUCUAGUUAUGGGCUCGAAAUCAUUUUGAAAAAAAAAAAUUUCAAUUUGUGAUUUUAUAUUGUGACACAAAUUGAAAUUGCAUUUUUUUAUCAAAUUUUCUCAUUCUCACAUUUUGGGACUAUAAUGCAAAUCAUUUUGUGUACAAAUUCCUCAAAAUAGAAAUCACUUCAUUUUUCUAGGAGUAAAAUCACAAAUCAAUCUUUCAAAAAUCAAUGACACUUUUGCAUAUGAAACUUUUGGAAUAAAAGUGGACAUUCGAUUGAUGGCCGUGGAUUGAUAAUUUUAAUGAUGUCUUCUCUUAUGAUAAAAUUUUGGCGAAAUACUAAAAUCCCGUAAUAAGGAUUGUGGGGCACGUAUCAUUGCCUCGAUUUUAUUGUAAGAAGUGACCUCAUUAAGACAUCAUUUUCUCUCAUUCACAUAUUGACAUUGUCGUCUUUUUGCAGGUUAUGUGCAAUGCUCUUUGACGUUCUUGUGGUGACCAUUUAAAGAAGUGAAUUCUAGAGUUAGGACAAGAGUUGUUUUUUUUUUUUUACUUUCAUCUAUAAAAGAGUCUUGUAUUUUAUCAUUGUCUUUAUUCUUGUUAAGAAACACGUUUUCCAUUUUGGGUUUUGAUUUGCAAAUCGAAUUGAUGCUCUUGUAAAUCGUGCGACUCUCAUUUUUAACGAUGGAAUUCGAAAAUCAUCAUUUUUUAUAAUAAAAAAAAAAACAGAGCAAAACAAAGAAAAAAAAUGAAUUCAGAAGUGUUUCAAGUGUAUCUUUAUGUUUACCUUCCAAAAUGACUUUUAAAAAAAAAAAAAAAAGCUUUGUUUAAGGCUCUCUCUUCAUGUGGUCGCUUUCUCAGGUAGAAUGAAUAGUUUAUUUGAGAUCGACAUUUGCUCAUUCUAAAAGAUAAAAGUGUAGGCUCAUGGAACUUGAGGUAUAAGCAUCCUCGGCGCCAAUUUUCCAUAGAAGCGGAACGAAGUUGAAUUUCGUUCUAGGAAGUUUUGUUAUUCGCAAAUGCCUUAGGUGCCAAAACAACUCAUUGAUCUUGUUCACUUUGCAUGGUGAGACAAAUGAAGGGAGUUGCCAAAUAUCCAAAAGGGCGAAUUCGAAGGAAGAGUAAAUUGUAUCGAUUCUAAUUGUCCAUUUCUGAUACCGUUUCUGACAUGAUUUUCUUUUCAUUGUCAAGGAGACAUCAAGAGUACCAAGUUUUGUAACAUUCCAACAAAUGCGAUGGAGCAUUGUUGAGUUAUGUUCAUCUUAAACAAAGAAAUAUUCAAAUGAUGAAACAAAUGGGCAAUAUUAUCCCUUCCUCCAUUAGAGAUACAUUGGGAUGUUGAUUGCUCGACUUUGAAAAUGAUGUAUCUCAUUCCUAAACUUGAUUUCUCUUUAGUGUAAAAAAUGACAGGUCCUUUUCUUUGAUAUAGGACGGAUUCAAACAGAACAAAGGUUUGUCAAAUAAAGAGUGGAAGAGCAAUGUUUGAUUUAGAGAAAAAUCUCUCCUUCACCCCACCAAUGAAGUGUGCUAGAACGACAUUGUCAAAUCCAUCAAGAAAGGAUGUAUCGUUCCUCAACUGAAUUUAAUUGAGUAUGGAGAUAACCUAUUUCAUCUCCUCUUCUUACAGGGUGAUAAAUGAAAAAAAAAAGAGUUGCACAUUGAUUGUAGAAGCAGCGCCUUCCACCAAGGAAUCAAGAAAACUUCAAGCACUUAAAGGUGAAUGCAAGAGAAGGGUAUUGUCGAGUUACCAAAUAUCCACGAAGGUGAAUCCAAGAGAUGUUAGUGCCCAAAAGAUGAAAGCGAAUGAAGGGUAAUAAUGUAUCGUUUCCAACAUUUCAAUCCCUAAAGAUUUUUGCACUAACAUAUCCUUUCACAUUCUUUACAGGGUUAUGAGUCACCAUGCUGCAGGUAAGUACCUUUCUUGUCAAUUUUUUUUUAAAAAGAAAAAAAGAAAAAAAAAUAGAGAAUUUCCAUUACAAAAAAGAACCUUUGAUGCUUUCCUAGAGACAAGCACAAAAAUGAAAAAUUGAGAAAAAAAAAUUUCAAAGUUUUGGAAAAUCAUUUUUAUCUCAAAAUUAUUUUCUCGUCUUGUGGAUUAUUCAUUUAAAAUCAAACUUCCCUAUGGAGAUUGAUCUACUCAGAUGAUCUCGAUAGAGUGAGAUUGAGACGUUAACCAUGCCAAACAAAAAGUGCUUAGGAUGAAGAAAGGCAAGCCCAUUUCCAAACACGUCCUUCAAACACUUUUGAGAGUUGAGUGAAAAACGACCCUCUCUUAGAAUGAAUGAUUCAUUCGCAUUGAGUGCAAAGAUCGAAAUGGUAAAGGCAUUUUCUUCAUCAAUCCUAAGCACCGAGCUGACAUUUCGUUACCCUUUUGAGCCGAAUAAAGAUCCUUCAAAGUACACCUGUUGAGAACGACCUUACAUUGGAGCAGCAUAGGAGGUUACAAUCGUGUUGUAGAGCGAAAGAUCGAGAAAGAUUCUAUUACUUUCACUUGCAUCAAUCUUCUGGUGAUAGUUUCAAAGGAAUUCUCAUCAGAGCUUGACUCAUCCCAAGGUGAAGAAGAACAUUUCCUUCUCUACCCAAACACUAAUACCCAUUGCUUUAACCAAUUUGGGCCUGAUUAUUCAUUUCUGAGUCCCGAGUAGUGAUCAUCUCCCUUUACUGGGGCAAGACAUAAAGACUAACCACAUGCAAUUGGCAUUUACGAGAAAACGUGAAAAGCAUCUCAAAAGUCAUAAGAGCUCCAAAAGUUUAAAAAGAGAAUUCGACAAACUAGGGGGCAUGAAAAAAUAGUGUGUUUGAUAAAAGCAAGGCCAAUGCUCGUCAAGAAAAAGAGCCAAAAGGCUGCAUCUUAUAAGAAAAAUGAUCAAAGUCCAAAUGCUUGCGCAAAAAAUUCAUCGCAAUAGCAAAGGACAUUAGAGAAAGGAGCAAAGCUCCCAUGCAUAAAUGAUUAGCCAAGGGACUUUCGAGAUAUGCUGUGUUUCAAAAGCCAAAUGCUUUCGAAAGGUCGAAUGACCCGGUCACAAUGCCAUGAUGAUCAUCGACUCUUAAAAACCCUCUUGAAAAUUUUAAGCCUUUUGAGCCUCUCCCGAGCCAAUGUUACAACCUUCUUCCAAAGUCUAUUCUGAUUGGGAUGGUUUGAGUGAAAAUGAGAAUACCAUAAAGACGCUAUUGCUUGAAGGAGUGGAAGUAAUUCUAUCUUAUCUUAUCUUAUCUUCCAAGUUCUUGACUUGUAAACUUGAUGAAGAUAGCGGCAAAUGAUUCCUUUAUUGGCCUCAGAGCAAUAAUUCAUUUGUGUAAGCCUAUGACCAAACCUAUAUUGCGGUCCUUUCAAAAGACCUUUUUGAUCGAUCAUAUUGUGCUCAUCGCGAAUGUUUCUGAAAGCCUUUGAUCUGGGUUAUGUGAGAUACCCUCAGCAAUCGGUUAUCUCCCACAUGAAUGGAUGGGAUCAAGCAGCCAUUUUAUCGAAACUUUGAGAAGCCCUUUCUGACUAAGAAGCUCUAAUUUAGCAUGCUUAAUGAGCCUUUUUCACGAGUUGUGACCGUCUUGAUAAGAACUUGACUCCUAGAGAAUUUGAUGAUUAAUGAUAUAUCCACAAGCAAGAUGACAAUUUUGCGCCACAUGAUGCUGAUUGAAAUCAAAUGUUUUUCCAAAGCAGUCGAACUUAGCUUGAUUAGAUUGUUCAAUUGAUGCUACAAUAUUGCCAAUACGUCUCUUGAUGAGGUCUCUAAUAACAUUCACUCAAGUUGAGUUUGACAAGAUUCCUCAGUGAAGCCAUGCAGUUUUUAAAGGGUUAGCGGGUGCCUCCUUAAAGACCAAGGGUUCAUGGUCAGCCUUAAACCAUGCUAUCUCCAAAGGUUCAUGGUCAACCUUAAACCAUGCCAUAUCCAAAGGUUCAUAGUCAACCUUAAACCAUGUCACAUUCUUAUGACCCGAUGGGCUUUCUGUAGCCCGAAGUCCUUCAACCCCCUUCUUAUGACCCAGUGUGCUUUCCGUAGCCCGAAGUUCUUCAAUCCCCUUCUUAUGAUCUGGUGGGCUUUUCGUAGCCCGGAGUCCUUCAACGCAAUUCUUAUGACCCGGUGGGCUUUCUAUAGCCUGGAGUCCUUCAACCCCCUUUUUAUGACCCGGUGUGCUUUCUGUAACCCGGAGUCCUUCAACCCCCUUCUUAUGACCCGGUAUGCUUUUUGUAGCCCGGAGUCCUUCAACCCCCUUCUUAUGACCCGGUGGGCUUUCCAUAGCCCGAAGUCCUUCAAUCCAUUUCUUAUGACCUGGUGAGCUUUUUGUAGCUCGGAGUCCUUCAACCCCAUUCUUAUGACCCGGUGGGCUUUCCGUAGCCCGGAGUCCUUUAAUCCUCUUCUUACGACCCGGUGGGCUUUCCGUAGCCCGGAGUCCUUCAAUCCUCUUCUUAUGACCCGGUGGGCUUUCCGUAACCUGGAGUCCUUCAAUCCCCUUCUUAUGACCCGGUGGGUUUUCCGUAACCUGGAGUCCUUCAACCCCCUUCUUAUGACCCGGUGAGCUUUCCGUAACCUAGAGUCCCUCUCAUUCUUCUUAUGACCUGGUGGGCUUCUAUAGCCCGGAGUCUUUCUUCCUCUUAUUAACAAGACGUGUUUUCAUAGUUAUGAGUCAUUUUCAUUAACCUGAUACGUGUACAUGCACCUAGGGUCUCUCUAUCGUCAAAAUAAUUUAGGUGUCUUAUGUCUUUGAUCGCAACCUCUUCGAGGCUACAUUCAAAGAGGGGCAGCUGUUGACACCUAAAUUUCACCUAAAUUAAUUAAUUUAAAGUAGUGUUAAAGGUUAGGAAUUAGUCACAAAAAAGGGUUAUUAUAAAAAAAUUAGUUUUUAAAAAAAAUCAAAAAAAAGGAGAAGAAAAAAAAAAGAAAAGGAAAAAGGGGGCAAUUAGGCCAAGUUCGGACAAGCCUUGAGUAGGCUCAGUCCUCUAUUUCCUUUCCUCUUUACUUCGCACUAGGCCCGACCCAGCCUUUGUUUUUCUUUUUCCCUCAGCCCAGCCCGCGCACGAGUUGGUCGUCUCCCUCCUGCAGUUGGUCUUCGUUGCAAGACCUGCAAAGAAGAACAUAAACAAAACGGCAACAGAGGGAGCAAGGGGAUCUGUGGCAAGCGAGCGGUGUGAUCCACGAGUCGAGGGGGCAAUCCGGCCGGCAAGCUGACCGCUGCAGAGGCCACGCGUGCUGGCCGAGCAUAAAACCAGCAGAGACAGGAGAAAAGAAGGAGAGCUUGAGGGAGAGAGGUGCUCAAGAGUGAGAGCUGGAGUGAGAAAAGUACUUGAGCGAGGGUAAAGAGCCAAAGAGAGGCUCGACCGUGCAUGAAAUCCGGCUCCCCGAUGCCCUUCUUUUGGAACUAUGAGAAUCGAGAGAGCUGAGGAGGAGUUGAGAGGAACCAGAGAGAAAUCGAGAGGGAGAAGAAGUCCGAGCGAGGAAGCGACUAAGGGAGAGCAAGGGAGCUUCAGCCGUCGCUUCAGCUGCGUGCGAGCCUCGCCGGACGACCCCUCGGCCAACGUCCUCAAGUCGAAUCCGGUAGGUCCUCGCGCCCUGUUUUCACCUGGUUCUAUGCAUCUCGGGCUGGAGUUUGUGAUUGACCGGUUUGCGUGAACUUCGGCCCCAUCCACUCCCUCUCUAGUUGUUGUAUGUCUUUUUGUUUGUUGGUGAGAGUCUCGGUUUGGGUUCGGGUCCUGGUUGAGCUAGAAACCGUGUGAUUUGGAAGCGCACUCCACCUGUUCGGUAAAAUGUUUGAAUGAGAUCUAGUCUUGUUUUGUCGUUUUGAAUCGGACUCGAGUUGUUUAGGCACCGUCCCAUCUAGCCAAAGUUAUUAUGUGAUUUUUUAGCAUCUCAGACGUAGCCACACCACUCGACCCACGGCUGCUCUUGUUGUGACGCACGAAGGCCGUGGAUCUCUUUUGUUUUGGGGCACAGGCGGGGGCUCUCGUGGUCAUUGAGUCGCCUCUAGUCGGACGGGUUGAGCAUUAGGCUCGGCUUUGUCAAGGUGGUGCCGUCAUGCCUUAGUUGGACUCAGAAACGCGGCAUCUUGCUACAGCACCACCUCCAUCGUGACUCGUCCGUUGCGAAGCCGCAGGUCGCGAGGUGGGUCAGCGGGCCAAACCCGAUGUUGUCGCUGGACUUUCAUCGUUGAUGCCCCGUGUAGAAUAUCAGUCGGCGACCAAAGAAAUGUUGGUGUUAAGAGUUUUAGUUCGUAGAAAUAAAUUGCAGACGGAGGGAGGCGUUCGGUGAAGAAGAUGUAAAUGAGUAGAACGCACGAAGGGGAAGGAGACCAAAGGGGAAGAGGCAAAAAAAAAAAAAAAACAAAACAAAAAGAUAGAUAUAGAAAAAGUAAAAGAAAAUUAAUAAAACAAAAUAUAGAAAAAGAAAGCAAAAAUUUGCUUCUUCGGAAAGGAAGAAUGCAAAGAAAGGAGUGUAGCACAAAAAGACAAAACCGAAAAGGACAAAAAAAAGAGAGAAAAGAAUAAAAAGAAAAUAAAAAAAUGUGAAAAGUGCGCUAGGGUUUUAUGUUGUGGGCUAGGGUGUUCUAUUGUGGGCUGAGCUUGUGGCAUCCUAAAAUCUCGUGACAACCUCUGGAGUACCAUGAACCAUGAUUAGGUAACAGAAGUGCCGUUUGAUUUUGUAGUAGCCAUUGAGUUAAUGAAUUUCAAUUAAUUUAAGGCCGAGCAUUGUAAAGGAUGAUUGGUUGGGUGGAGAUGUGUCUUCAAGUGACCUAAGGAUUUUAUUAAAAUGCAAAUUGAUAUAGAAAUCUUAUUCUUGGUGGUGCACUUUAUAAGUAGAAUUUUAUUGAUUUAAAUUAUAAAGUUUUGUGGGCUUAUAAGUUGAAAUUAGGUGUUUAUUAAAAUAAGGGUUAAAUGGAAUAGGAAUAGGAGAGGGUGGGCUGAUUUUUAGGCCCAAAGACCGUCCAACCAGCCCACGCCAACCCCUUGGUCGACCGGCCCAUGAAGGCCCAAGACCGGCUCAACAUUGAAGCCCAUCAACUUUGCAUGUGAGUUGCCAAGUGGCAUGGAGGAGGAGCCAAGUGUAGCUGCCCUCAUUGGCUUCCUUGGGUGGCUACAUGCAAUCAAAUGAUUGCAAAUGAUUGUGAGGGAAGAAAGCUAAAGGGAGAGGGGCGGAUGGAUGAAGGGGAAUCGACCGAGAGAGAGAGAGAGAGAGAGAGAGAGAGAGAGAGAGAGAGUGUGUGUGUGUGUGUGUCGUCUGAGAGAGAGGAAGAGGGAAAGAGAGGAAGCGAGUGUGCGAGAGGAAGGAGGAGGAUCAUCCCCUUAGCUCGCCGCCGUCCGUUCGCCGCUUUGCUGCCGUUCUUGUUGCUGUUUGUGCUUGAGUUUAAGGCAAGUGAAGUCCUAAAACCUACCCUUUGCAUUGCUGUGUGUAUGUGUAGUAGAUGGUAAGUCUUGGUUGUGGUAGAUGGGAUGAAAUUUCGGAGCUAUGGAGAGAGAUUCGUUGGUCAUGCAUGCUGUUUCUGGAAAGACCAGUCCGACCAUCCAUGACAUUGUGUGCUGCAUGCGACCUUUUAGUUGGAAUCUUGUUUCUAUUUCUUCAUGAAAGUUGUAGAGAACACCUUGAAGAACAACAUACUAAAAUUUGAGGCAAAACGAACAAGUAUUGGUUAGUGAAAUAAUUUUUUUUUGGAGAAAUUAGAUCUGGAAUUCGUUGUGCUGACCUUUAGAGAUUUCGUGAUCUGUAAAGUUCACUUUGAUCCCUUAAUGAAAGUUUUAGUGUACUUCUUGAGGUAGAACAUAUAAAUUUUUUAGAAGAAAUGAACAAAAAUAGGUCGGUGAAAUCGUUGUCUUUUGUAGAAACUGGAUCUGGAAAAAAUGCUGCUUCGACCUAGUAUGAUUUCGUGAUUUUUGUAAAAUCAUACAGUUAAAAUUUGAUCAUGUGUCCUUAAUGAAAGUUGUAGGUAAUGUUAUGAGGAAUAACAUACUAAACAUUUAGAAGAAAUGAACAUAUGCAGGUUGGUUAAAUGAGUUUCUUUUGAAAGAUGAUAAUCUGGGAAAAGAUGACACCGAGAACAGGGAAAAAUAAUCGUCUAUAUCUAUUAACCUAGAACGAUUUGGGUUUCAAUUUCUUCAAGAGAUAUUUACCUCUAGGACUUGUCUAUAACAUGUUAAAAUUUUAGAAUUUUUGGAGUUCAUUUGGGUAUUUAAUUUAAAUUUCUUCCGAAACUAUGCAAGUUGAAAUAUUGAAGUUUUGAAAACUAUGAUGCAUGGACCGUGCUGUUUUGUGUGAGGUUCUUUUGGUAUGAUGUUAUUCAUGAGAUAUCUGCCUUUAGGUCUCGUCUAUAAUGUAUCAAGUUUUCAGAAUUUAUUAAUUUCAUUUACUAAUUUUUUUGGAGUUUUAAUUAGAGGAAUGCAUUAUGAUUUAUUCGAAAAAUUGAUGUGUUUUGAAAAAUAAAUGAAAUUAUCCAUGUGAUGAAAUACUUUGAGUGGUUGAUUUUGCUGCAUAUGUGAUGGCAUAUGGCAUGUUAUAUGACAUGAACAGUUAGUUGAGACCCUUGGUAUUGUUGCAUCAAAUGCCAUGUUGAAAUUGAGAUACAUGUAUAAAUGUAAAUUGAGAUGGUAACAAGACCGUCAGAGGUGUGAGAUGACAAUGCCUUGGGAGUUUCGAGAUGCUCGGAAUGUAGGGGUGCCAGAAGCCUCGAAAGUGUGUGCUGGGGGGGAUACCUCGUGAUGCCAGUUGGCAUACGAGAUGCCCGGAAUGUGGGGGUGCUGGAUGCCUGGAGGUGUGUGUCGGAGGUUUCUCGUUAUGCCAAGUUGGACAUGAGCUAUAAAUUGUGGGAUGCAAACAUUGGUCCCUAGGAAGAAAUUGAUGUGAUCUAAUUGAAAUAAAAAGAUUGAGAAUUUAAUCAUGCGCAUGGAUGUGUACAUAUGUCAUGGUGGUAUAUGUACAUAUGGCAUGGUGAUAUAUGUAUGAAUACUUGAUGAUGAGUGCAUGGUGGUAUAUGCACAUAUGGCAUGGUGAUAUGCAUGAAUGCUUGAUGAUGAGUACAUGGUGGUAUAUACACAUAUGGCAUGGUGGUAUAUGCAUGAAUGCUUGAUGAUAAAUGCAUGGUGGUAUAUGCACAUAUGGCAUGGUAGUAUAUGCAUGAAUGCUUGAUGAUAAGUGCAUGGUGGUAUAUGCACAUAUGGCAUAGUGAUAUAUGCAUAGCUGCAAAGUAAGUUAUGCUUGGAUGUAUGAAUGAUAUGUGCUUUGUUUAUGAUGCCUUGAUUGUUCUGUUUAACGCACUGAAUAGUUUGGUGGAUCUUUACUGCUGAGUGGUUGUACUUACCCCUUUUGGGGAUUAACAUUUCAGAUUAGAAAGAUGCCUUUGCUGCUGGUUGUACGUGGUGCUUACUAUGACUUACCUACUGAUGUGGAUGUGGAGUGUACUGAGCAUGUCUGUGUCAGUGCUCCUGGUUUAGUUUUUGUUCGAGUCCGUGUUUUGGUGAUGUAAGAUGUGGGUCGAGCUGAUGGCCCAGUUAUUUAGGAGUUUUUAUCUGUCCAUGUCCGACAUGAUGGAGCGAUGUUAGGGAUGUUACCACCGCCACCACCUGAUGCACCGGAUUGGGUAUGAUGGCGCGUAUAGCUAUUGGGAGCUGACACUUUUUGGAGAUAGCCGACGCUCGUUGAUGGAGGGUGGUACAUGUUCGAUGUAGAAUCGAGUCCUUUUUGGGGUGAUAGCCGAGUAUAAUUAAAAUCUUGGUUUUUUUGUUGUAUCGACCUUGAUGUCCAUCAUGAAAAUAUAAAUAAGAGUGAAUCGGCAUUAUCUUUUCUUAUGGUGCGUAGUUGGUGUGUAUUGCAUUAUGGUUAUUGGAGGGAGAGAUGGUGAGACUUGUUUAUGCUUUCGCUAAUAAGCUGAGCUGGGACUGUUUAAAAAAAAAAAAAAUCUCUAGUCAUAGUUAUAUGAAAUUGAGUAAUUAAAGAGAGAGUGCCUGUGGCGACCUCAGGCGAGUCAAGGGUGCCAUAGGGCUCAUUUCGAAUGUGGGCCAGAAAAAGAGUUAAAAAAUUCAUGGGCUUUUAUAAUUAAUUCCAAGCGACCUUUUAGGGUUAAUGUUUUUAGUUUAACGCGAUACAAUAUUGUUCAGGUAUGUUUAGUUGGGUCAGGUCUCAUGACCCGGUUUGCCCCUUUUUAAAUUAAAAAUUAUUAUUUUUUAAAAUAAAAAAGUAAUUAUUUAAACAAAUAAAAAAUAAAAAAGUAAUUAUUUAAAAAAAUUAAAAAAUUAAAAACAGAAAAAAAUUAAAAAAAAUUAAAAAUUUUCGAAAAUUUAAAAAUGAUGGAGUUUGGUUAGGAUUUGCCAUAUAUUUCCUUUUAGUGUAAUUAGACCUUUAUUUACUCGUGUAUUAAUUAUAUUGCAUGUUUAAUUAUGUUUGAUUGCAUGUGUUUAAUUUUAUUGCAAUUAGGAUCUUGGUAGUUAUGAUUAUUACUUUAAUGAUUGCGCACCAUAUGAUCACCUCACAUAUUAGUGGAUAAGUAUAAAAUCAAUCCAAAUUGCCUGACAAAAAUCAUUUCUUUUCAAAUGAACAAGAUUAGGUACCGAAAGGGCACUAAUUAGUCAAUUAGUGUAAUCAAGUCCCCGAUCCCAGAUUCUCUGGUUGUGUAGGAAGUGAGACACGCUCCCAUGCUCCAUUUGGUUUCUAGCCGAUCCCAAUAGGCUAGUGGCGACUCCUUUUGUGAAAAAUUCCUAGAAAAUAUCUAAAUGUCACGCGGGGUAUGGGCUUGGGAGAACCCGCACCUAAUCAUGGGCCUUAGGUCCGUCCUUUAGGUAUUUACCCCUAAACCUGUUCCCUCCCCCGAGGGUAGGUCACAACAUUGGGCUAACCCCCUCCAGGUACUGACGCCUAAAUAGUGGUUUGCAGUGAGACUUGCUAGUGCCACUGGGCACUGGCGGGUUGUGUGAACCCGAAUAUUGUUCGUAAAAUUCUAAACGUAAGUGAACGUGUCGAAUGGGUAAUAUAAUGAUAAGAAAAAGUAUUGUCCCACGGAGAUUGAUGAUUAAUAAACUAAUUAAAUACUAAAAUAGAUUAAUUCUAAAAUUUAUCUAACAUAUCAAAAUAUAAUUUAGAAUAAAUUAAAAAAACAAAAUUUGGAGACUAAAUGCAAUAAAUCAAUAAGAUAAAUGGAGAGGCUCAUUGCAUUAGAAGACUCAUGUAGCUGGUCUAUUGUUGCUCCUGAAUUAAGUUAGAAAUCCUUCGAAAAGGCUUGAGUUAACGCUCUUUCUUUGUGUUUUUUUUUUUCCACAUAUGCAGUUGUUUUAUGCUAUAUUCACCGUGUACAGAUGCCUUAUUCGGUCAAAUUGAUCUUUUUUGAUACACAAGAUUAAGAUAUCUAAUCUCAUCUUUUUGUAAAAAGACGUUGAAUAUACUUUCGCUACUCCUCGCAUCAUCUGCAACUUCUGUAUCACUAAUACAAAAAUAAAUCUCUCCCGCUUUAAAUUCUUCAAUGUGUCCUACUUCUAUAUGCAUAUGAUAUCCUAGCACCACUCAUUAUAUAUGACUGCUAGGACGAUGUAUUGGUCAGCAUGCAACGAGUACAAUAAAUCUAAAUUCAACUCCUACCUAACGUGAACAUGACAAAAGUGGACGGGGUAGGUUAUUUGAAUGAAUCUUCUUACGGCAAAAACAUUUUAGAAAACAUCCUGUUAAUACUUAAUAUCAGAAAUCAAUAAAAAGUGUUCAUUGUUUUUCGAAAAUUUUUGACAUGCUUGCUGAAAACUAAUAAGGUUACAGUGUGUAAUAUUGUGACAGUGUCAACGUUCUACGCAUAUUGCAAACCCCAUAUAAUUUACAGAUGUUCAGAGAUGUUGCAGUCGUCAUUGGCUUUUGAGAGUAAAUUAAAAAUAAAGCAUAUGAACGAAAACAUGUCUUUUUUCUUCUUGUUGUUCAAAAUCAAAUACUCGUAUUAAUGUACUUUAUAAAUUUAUAAUCACCAACUAAAAUAAUCUAAGCUAACCAUGUUAGGUCGGCAAGUCUAUCCGACACUGGCCUUAAAUCUUCUGCAACUAAGAUCUCCAUCUCAACCAGCAAAGACUAAAAAUGCUGAAGUUUGUAGGCAUGACUUUCUCUAGUGCAUGACAAUCAAGUAUCUUUCAGUGGUGACGUUAGAUACAGGGGCUUCUUGCGUGAGAAGAUUCAUUGCUGGAUCCAUUAUUGGUCUGGAAAUGAAAAUUAUCUAAAAAGUUUGAAACUUAUUGAACUUUUAUCAAAUCAAUCCUAAACAUUUCAAUAUUGCCAAUUCAAUCUUAAAUAUUUUCACAUUUUGCCAAUUGAAUUCAUUCGACCAAUUUUAGCCGAAAUUCGCUGGCAUGGAUAUUGGCUAUCUUAUGUCACAUUACUGGUAUUGAUGUAGACAAUUUUUAAUGACAUUUUAAUAUUUUUCUAUUUUUUUCUGAUUUUUUUCUUUUUUGCCUUUCUUCUUCUUUUGCCGAUGGCCAACCACCAACCACAAGUGAUGGUUGGGUGGGUUGGCCUUGCCUAUGCUAGGCAGUAGGUGACACACGACCUUGGCCUGGGUGAGGGUCGACCUCCCCAGAUCUGGCUUGGCCAAAGUCGACCCUCGCCGAUCUCCCCUGAGUGAGGGUAACCUCGCUCGCCCAGCCUCGCAUGUGGCAAGUGAGGUCAGCUAGCCCAGCCACUUGCAAAAGAAAGAUGAAAGAGAAACAAGAAUUAAAUAAUAAAAAAAUUAAAAAUAUUAAAAUAUUAUUAAAUUUUGUCCAUAUUAACACCAGUUAUGCUAUGUGAUAAAAUAAACUCAAUUGGUAAAAAGUAAAAAAGUUAUGAUUGAAUUGAGAAAAUUGAAAGAUUUAUAAUAUAAUUGACAAAAGUGUAAUAGAUUUAUGACUUUUUUUUGACACUUUUCUCCUAUAGAAUAAUGUUAAAAAUCCAAAAAGGAUUUAGCUAACUCCUUGUUUAAGCAUAUACAGGCCGUAACUAGACACUGACGCAUUGCGAUCACAUGAUCGAAACUGGAAAGCCCAUGCUAAAAAAAGUCAAGGAAGCAUUACUUAUCAAUAAAAGUAGUAUUAUCAUGGUGAAAAAGGAGAUCCACAUUAACAAAAUUGGGACCGAUCCAGGUGCGUGCACGUGAGUUUUACUGCGUGAACUUGUACAUUCGUAAUUAUCAUGGACGAAACUCAUUGAUGGCGAGGUUGGUAAAUUUUAUAAAAAAAAAAAAAAAAAGGGGUUCAAACGAACUACACGGUUUUAUCAAAGCACUCGACAGAGCCGAAAACAAGAUGAGCAAUUGAAAAGAAAUGACUUCUUCAGCAUGCUUUGUAGCCACUGGUAGGGGUAUUCAUCAAAAAUUUGAAAAUCGAUAAAACGAGCCUAGGCAAACCAAGAUCAUAACAAUUUAGCGAUUUGAUUCUUCUUUAGGAUUUUUUUUUUUUGUUAUUUGUUUGGUUUUGGUCUAUAAUUCUGGAAACUGAUAAAAUCGAACUAAACUGAAAAAUUUAAUAAUUAAUUAUUAGCCUUCUUACUAAUAAAAUUUGUUAUUAAACCUAACCAAAUAAGUUCGUUUCUAAGAUUGUUCUAAACUAUUAAAUGCAAGAUUCUACUUCUUAAAUUGGCCAUAAUUGACUGGUUCUAAUCUCAAAUAAUACCUGCUAUAGAGCUUUUCGUGAUCUUUUGAGAACUUUUUUUUUAAUUAAACAAUAUCUUUCAAUGCUAUCGACAGUUGGCUUGAUUGAAUUGUGACCAUAUUUCUUUUUUCCAAGAACGAGUAAAAUUAAGUGCUCAUAUUGUUUAUUUCAUUGCAGGCUUAGACAGCCCAAGUAUGUAUUAAAAUUCUUAUUUGGAAAUUGGCUUGAUGGUAACAGUGUGACAGGGAACCAACUCGAUAACAAACCAAAGUUAUUGGUUUGAGUCGAGUCGUAAUCUUAUGUAUUUUUAGUGUGGGUUCGGCUUUGGGUUUGGGUUGUGAUUUUUCCAAAACUGAACUUAGUUGAGAAUACCUCCAAGCCAAACUAAUGAUACCCUUACUUGCUCGUGGGGGCGGCUUGACCCUAUCUGGUGACUAGCAAGAUGGUUGUGUAACCCAGGCUGGAGGCCGAUGCGGGUUUAACCUCCUUCGGCCUCUGGGGAGAGCCACGCUAAAAGUUCCUCUAGGCAUUCGUAACAUGUGAACUCACCUCAUUUUGGCCUACGCUGUAAGGGGACUCUUAGAGUCUAUUUGGUAAUUGACUAACUUUUGGCUAUUUCAGUUAUUUUGUUUCCUCAAUAUAUAUAUAUAUAUAUAUAUAUAUAUAUAUAUAUAUAUGUUUGGUAAUAUCAGCUAAUUUUUAUACUCUAGGGAAUAUAUUUGGAACAAAAUCAAGAAGUAAAAAUAAGUUAUUUAUUUAUUCCCAAGGACAAUUACAGAAUCAAGCCAUUUUCUUUCUUUCUUUUUUCUUUUCUUUUCUUCUUCUUCCUCUUCUAAUUGGGUCGUUGGGGUCGGCUAUAGCUAAUGACUAGCCAUAAACAAGGUUCAACGACCUCACUAGAGCUUUCUUGUGGUUGGGUGAGGCUCGACCUCACCAAGUUGGUGAGGCUUCCCCAACAGCUGGCAACCAACCAAAGAAGGAAAAAAAGGAAAAGAAAAGAGAAAAAAGAAAAGAAAAAUCUCAUAAAAUUAUUUGAAAAUUAAAAAAAAAAUUGUAAGUCACAAAAAAAUUUGAAGGUUGUAUCAAACGCGUUCCUGUUCUUUUUUUAUUCUAGGAAUAACAGUUAUCAAAUGCUUUCAAACGUUUAUAAAUUUGUCCAAUGAACAGAACCAACAAAAAUAUACAUAUAUAUUUUUGAAUAGUAAUUAUUCUUAGGAACAAAAGUGUUACCAAAUAGGCCUUUACUAGCAAAUUAUUGCUUUUGGAAGAAUGCAUGCACUAAAGAGACCGCACAUGCUUAGUUUUUGUAUGUUAUUUAUGUUGCAAUUGGUGACACGGUGGAAGUGGACCAUAACUUUGCAUUUAUAUUGGAAGCUAUAGAAAUUGAUAGAAAAAAAUGAGGAACAAUAAAAUGAUAUAAGAAAUUUACGUGAUUCGAUCUGAAUGUUGGAACUUAUGUCAAUGGACGAGUCAGCAAAUAAUUCACUAAUAAAUUGGAGAAUUGCAGUGUUACAAACACUCACAUACUUGACUAUUUCCUAGCCCUAGUAUAUAUAUCCAAUACCUACAAUGUUUAACAACUCAACUUGAUAUACCUAACUCAUGCAUAGAUCGAUCAGAGCCUCCGCCUCUCUAUCCUUUGAGUUCUCAAUUUUCUCUCUUCACGGCCUUUUUUUCAAAGGUCCUCUCCUUUUGUAGGAGGAAGAGGAGCAAACAAGACACAAAUCGGGGCUUGUCAAUGUGAGGACGGUACCCACAAAGGAUGACAAUAGAGAAGAUGACAUUCGACGCCCACCAAUUCUAUGGGCAUGCAUGUCCUAGGAAGCAUCAACACUAUCCGAAGCUUUCGUGUCAUGUCAAACAUUUCGACGCUUUUCAAUACUCUUCAAUACUCUGUCAUCAGGUGUCAGAAAUCAACUCUCCCAACAUGUGAGUCUGAAAUUCCAACAUACAAGUUCGGAAUUCCAACAUGUGAUUCCAAUAGGCAUCGGAUCAAUUUUAAAAAAUUUCAAUAAAUGAUGGGUCAAAAUGUAAAUAUGUAAAAGAUAAAAAUAAUAAAUGGAAAAAGAAAUAAUAAAAAAAAACUUAGUUUUCUAUUCUUUUUUUACUCUCACUUCUCAUGACACACAAUUUACCCUCGAAGUUUUUUUUUUCUUUUUUCUUCCGACAAGUUUUGACAUGCAAGUCCAGAAUGUGGAUUAAUUUUUUUUUCCCUCCAAGUUUUAUGGAUUAUUGGAAUGAAGUUAAAUUUAUCAAAUUGAAACAAUAAAUGAUAUUAAAAAAUGAUGGAUUAAUGUUUUUCGUGUAAAUUCAUUCUGAACUCUUUUUAAAUAAUUUAUUUAUGAAUUUGAAUCAAAUUACUUUGAUUAAAAUAAUCAUAAAAAUAAUAAUUUAUUAAAUGUAUAUAAAAAUAUACACUUAAUAUAAUGUGUCAUAACUUGUUGAAAUUCUCUAUUUUAAAAAAAAUAAUAUAUUGACGUAUCGUGUCACAUGUUAUGUAUUAGUGCUCAUGUCAUGUGCAUGCAUCAAAGAGGGAGAAGAAAAAUGAAUGGGCGAGUCAUGCUCACAUUUAAUGAAGAGGGGUGCCCCCAGAUAAAGCAUUUAAUGAAUGAUGUCCCACUUUUUUUUCUUCCAUGAUGCACGUUUCCUUCAUCUACUUUUCAAAGAAGUAGACAAAAAUUUACUUGAUCAUUCUUGUGCGGCUCUCUUCCUGUUGUGCUUGCAUUAAAAAUUGCUUAGGGCAUGGUAACGAACAGGUUAAUCUGGAGAUAUAAUUUAACAAUUUAUUUGAUGAGUAGUUUUUUCUUUUAUUAUUAAAUUUUUAUCUUCUCGGAACUUGGAAACACAACAAAACAAAAAUCUUUUUUUUAUUUUAUCCAAAACACACAUAUCAGUUGUCUAGCAAUUCAAUCUAGACAAGACCAUACACCACAUGGCUUCACACCACAAAAAGAAAAAGAUGGAAAGCUGCUUGUUAUCGGCCAACUAAGUGUUGGCCAAAUAACAUCAGCAAAAGCCAGUAGUACAACAUAACUGAUGCCCAGAAACACAACAUAACCGAAGAGAACCUGUUGUAUAUAAGACAAGGCCCUCCAGGAAGAUAUGAGGAAGGAGACCCGACUAUUGUUACUUUGGAAAAACAUAGUGGAAAGUAUAACUAUUAAUAGUUAUAAUCCAUCUCCUAUUUACCCUCAAGUGGUUAGUCCAUUUGGAUGGGGAGCUGAGCUGUGCUAUGAAAAAACGAAGCUGAUAGCUAAUUUUCACCAUCGACGCUCUUUAAAGAUACCUCGUGACUCGUCUGCUGUUAAAUGCUAUAAGGUUGAGAGAGCUUGGCCUCAAAAGGACAACUUAACACAUGCAUAGAAAAUGAGGAUGCGAAGAAAGAAGAAGAUGUAUUUGCUUCAAAAGCAGCUUGACCAAGUUCGCAUUAUUCGGGUUAAAGUGAUAAUGGCAAAGUUUGGUCAAAAUAGAAAUCACUGAAGGACAUUGAUAAAUUCACCAAUGAAGUCAUACAGUAGACUUCAUAAGUUAUUGACAAGAGCAUUCAUCUGUUGACAAGAUCAUUGACUCCAGCAUGUUAUAGUGAAUGCAGUGGAGUUAAUGUAACCAUCAAGAUAGUGGGGUUUGACCAUCAAGUAAUGGAAUCGACAAUUUCAAAUGCAACCUUCAAGGAAAUUGAUGUAGGAGCAUUAGAGUCCGCCAAUCAAUUGGCAAAUUCAACUCAAACCUUGUCGAUUAAUCCAGCUCAAUCAUUACAUUUGGAAGUAAAAGUCCAAUUUCAACUUAAUUUGAUUCAAUGGGUUCAAGUUGAAGAUGUCGAUUAUGCAAAAGAGUUGUCAUGGCUACCAAUUGACUACUUUGUUGUCGAUUUGCAAGAUUCUCAAUUGACUUCCUGAUCAAUGGAGGCUGUUCUAUUGAUUCCUAUUGCCGUUUGAUAACUUUCUAUGGUGACUGUUCAGCUUCCAAGACUAAACGAAUUUAGAGGGUCUUAUCAAAUUUCAAUGCAUAUUAUGCUAGCUAAAUGCAUUUAGUCCUAAUUAUCGAGUCUUUUAAUUCACAGCUUUGAGAAAGCUAAGGGAUAUUCAGUCGCGAUCUCCCCAAAAUUGGUUUCUUUUAGGCUCCUCCAACCUUUCUUCUCUCUCCAGAUCAUGAGAGUUCAUCAGUCUUCUUCGCCAAUCCUACUUGGAACCCAAGAAGCCAAGAGCCAGGCUGAAUGAGAUCUGAUUCACCCGUGGAAUCCCUUGCCUGACCCCGAUCCCAAGCAUAAGCCGCCACACCCCGCCCACACCCCGCCCCCACCCCACCCCCUCCCCCCGGGGGCCGCGAUAAGAUGCCAUAGCCCAAGCUCGAUCCCAACUACGUCGCCCCUCCUCCUCCGUCCCCAGUGAGGCCCCGUGAGCUCGGAUCUCCGGCAGCACCACCACCUCCAUGCCCGUGGAGUCGAAUCCUUACAUCGCUUCCACUCUUGCUAUGCAAAUAAUCUAUCAAUAGUAAGUGCACCGAUUCAGCAAAUGGUUGCCUUCUAUGGAUUCUUCGGAUUCGAUACUGAGGAGACCAUGGAUUGCUUUUUGGUUCUUUUGUUUGUUUACUGACAUGUAAAUCCUGUUAUUACGUGCAUAUACGAUGGAUUCGGUGAAGGACGUGCUCAGGAGAUAGGGAAAGAGUAAUUUCGAAAAGUUUUUUCUUUCCACGACCACUCACAUACCUACUCAUAACACUAGCAUCAUGCAAAAUAAUUAGCCUAGUGCAAACCCUAGCCCACAUAACACUGCCAGCGGCACUGACGUAGGAAACAAGGGACAUAUACUACCUCUCAUCCUAGACUUAGAUAAUCCAAGUACGUAUUAAGUUCUUAUUGGUAAAUUGGCCUGUUGGUAAUAGUCUAAAUUCGGACCACACUGAUAACGAACGGAAGUUAUUGGUUUGACUUGAGUUGUAAUUUAUCAGUAUGUUUUGGCUUUUGUCACGACCCAAUCUUGUUAGAGAAAACUUCCUUGAAGUGUUUUGAAGUUGACAAAACGUUUCCAUCAGUCUAGUCUUAAGACUUGCAGACUCUUUCAUCAAAAUCUAAAGACUCCGGACUGCCAGACUCAAGACUCAAAGUCUAUCCUCAUUGACAGCUUCUAGACCAUCGAAGAAGGGUUAUCCAAAACUGAAUGUUUCAUUAAGGAUUUGACUUUAUCAACUGUAGAAGCUCUCUUGACUGGAUAUAGCAUGUCAGAAUCCAUUAUUCAAAUCAAGAUUGAUUCAGGGAUUUUGGACUUGUUGAUUGGCGAAGUAUACUUGGAAAGUUCUACUUAUGGAAACCUAGAUCCUGAUUGUAUGGGCGAGCAGGAUUGAUGGGCUAUCGUCAUGUUCCUUAAAUAGCUCGAAGAUCUUCCUAAUUGAUUCUGUCCAACGGGUAGAUUGGAAGAAUUCAUUUGGUAAGUGCCAACGGGUGUGAUGGCAUAAAUGAGUAUAUAAGGAAGACGAUCCAGUUGUUCGAAUGUGUGCGCGAUAGAAGAAUUCCAAAGUCUGAAGCUCUUGUUCUUUGUCAUUUAAACUGUUAAGUGAAAUCCUUGUACGCAAAAGAGAGUCUAUAUCUUUGAGAGACCUUGAGGCAGUGUAGUAGAGUCUCUACACUGUGGAAUCAAGGAAGAGCUUUUCUGUAACUGACUUUUUUGUUCAUAAUGAAAUCCAGCCGGUGGGCCUGUUAGUGUGGAAGAGUGGACUUAGGCUUGGAUUAAGCUAAACCACUAUAAUCUCUGUGUUCAUAUUCUCUUUUCUACGCUUUUUUACUUAGAUCGUAACUCGUUUUGUUUACAAGAGACGAAUUUCUUUUUCAUAAUCUAUUGUUGAUUAGUGCUGCACACUUAUCUCGUAAAAUAGUUUUUACACCUAUUCACCCCCCUCUAGGUGCUCAUUCUAGCUUUCACAAUUGGUAUCAAAGCCUGUGUACUCACUUAAGUUGAAGUGUUUUACUUCAGAGUUAAAAAUCCAUGGCUAGUAUGUUGGCUCCAGGACUGGUUGAAGGGCAAAGCAAUACCAGACCGCCUUAUUUUGAUGGAAAGGAAUACAACAUAUGGAAAAACAAGAUGAAGACAUUUCUAAGAUUAAAGGAUCUUUUGGAAUGGGAUGUGGUAGACAAAGGAAUCAUUCCUAAAUCUGCACCUGUCUCAGAAAGAGGAAAAGAAGCCGUUGAGUCUAGCGAAAUGACUCAAGAAGAGAUAACAAAGAGACAAGCUCUUGAUGCAAAAGCAAUUUAUUUUUUAUAUUGUGCAUUAUCACCUACUGAAUAUAACAGAAUAUCUUCUUGUGUUAUAGCUAAAGAAGUCUGUGAUAGAUUACAUAUCACCUAUGAAGGAACUGAUCAAGUGAAAGAAACCAGAAUCAACAUUCUGCUCGGUCAAUACGAAGCAUUCAAAAUGAAAUCAGGAGAAUCUAUCACUGACAUGUUUAAUCGUUUUACAGAAAUCGUGAAUGGCAUUGAAAAUCAAGGUCAACCAAUUUCUGAUCCCAUGAAAGUAAACAAGCUACUGCGUGGACUCUCCAAGGAUUGGAAUCACAUAAAGACCUCAAUAAGGGAGACACAAAGAAUUAUGCCACUUUCUGUCGAUGAAUUGGUUGGGACUUUUCAGUCUUAUGAAGUGGAGCGAAUCAAUGAAGAUGAAGAUCCUAAAUGUAAGAAAUCCAUUGAAUUAAAAUCUAAUGAUAAUUAUGAUGUCACAGAUUCUGAAAACGAUAUGGAUGUUGAGGAGCUUGCUCUUAUGAUAAGAAGAUUCAGAAAGCUAAACAGAAAGGGGAGAAGAUUCAAUCCAAAGAAACAAAGUUUUCAAAAGCAACAGACCAAGUCUGUUGAGGAUGAUGAAUCCAAUAGAGAUGUAGUCUGUUUUGAAUGUAAGAAGAAGGGACACAUUAGACCCAACUAUCCUCUUCUGAGGAAAAAGAAAGGAAAAGCUGAGAAAUAUCGAAAGGCACUCAAAGUAAAAACUUGAAGUGAUACAGAAUGUGAAGAAAGUAAUGAUGAUUAUGCCAAUAUUUGUCUUAUGGCACAAUCAGACUCAGAUUCAAAUUCCGAGACAGACUCAGAUUCAGACAGUGAAUUCGAGAUCACUAUCAAGAAAAAGAUUAAAUGGUACCUGGAUAGUGGAUGCUCAAGGCAUAUGACAGGAGAUUCAAAUUGCUUCAUAAAGCUUGUUCAAGUUAAUGGUGGAAAAGUUUCAUUUGGAGGAAACGGCAAAGGAAGAAUUGUGGGAUACGGAACUGUAAAGAUUGGAAGCCUCACGAUCAGUAAUAUUUCCUUAGUGGAAGGACUCAACUACAAUUUGGUAAGUAUCAAUCAGCUGUGUGACACCGGUUUCAAAAUUAAUUUUCAAGUGGGAAUAUGUUCAGGAACUAGUAAAGACUCCUCUAAGUUUUUCACCAGUCAAAGACAAGGAAAUAUCUACCUCUUGGAUGUCAAACUAGAUGAAACCCAAUGUCUAAUCUCAAUUCAAGAAGAAGCAAACUUAUGGCACAGAAAACUUGGGCACAUCAACAUGAAGCAAAUAGCCAAAAUUUCAGCAAAGAAGCGUGUUCUUGGUCUACCCAAUCUGUCAUACCAAAAGUCUGAUCUAUGCACAUCAUGUGUAUUGGGAAACUAGAACUCAGAGCAUUGGAGGUAAGAAAUAUUGUUUAGUGAUUGUGGAUGAUUAUUCACGAUUCACUUGGGUAUAUUUCCUGGCAAGUAUGUCUGAAACCUUUUCUUAUUUUAUAAAGUUUGCUAAAAAGGUCCAAAAUAAGAAAUGGUAUGUUAUUUCGAGUAUACGAACAGACCAUGGAGGUGAAUUUGAAAAUCAAGACUUUACAAAAUUCUGUGAUGAAUCUGGUUUUCAGCAUGUGUUCUCUUCUCCAUAUACUCCAGAGCAAAAUGGAGUCGUGGAAAGAAAAAAUAGAUCGCUUCAAGAAAUGGCUAGAACUCUUUUAAUUGAAAGUAAGAUCUCUUUACGUUUUUGGGCUGAAGCAGUUUCUACAGCAUGUUAUAUUAUUAAUAGAGUCUUUCUAAGGCCUAUUCUGGAGAAAAAUCCCUACGAGUUAUUUAAAGGAAAGAAGCUCAUUGUUUCGUAUUUUCAUGUAUUUGGAUGUAAAUGUUUUAUAUUGAAAAAUGCAAAUGAUCGAAUUGGUAAGUUUGAAGAAAAAUCAGAUGAAGGUAUUUUCCUUGGAUAUUCUAUCACAAGCAAAGCUUACAGAGUUUACAACAAGAAGACUCAAUCUGUGGAGGAAUCAAUGAACAUCAAAUUUCAAGAAUUUAUGCAAAAUCAAUCGAUUCAUACUCAUCUUGAAGAAUCCGAACCUACUUCAGACUCUACAAAGUCUAAAUCUCCAGAAGCAACUCAACCUUCAAAAGACGAGCAACAAAUGAUCAACGGAGAUUCAAAUGAGGAAAAAGAUCAACAGUCUGACAAAUCAACUAGCAACUGGAAGCAUAAGUCAAGUCAUCCCAAAGACGUGAAGAGAUGUUACUUUCAAUUAAAAGAGUUCUAGCCAUUUCUUGAAGCGAUCUAUUCUUUCUUUCCGCGACUCCAUUUUGCUCUGGAGUAUAUGGAGAAGUGAACACAUGCUGAAAACCAGAUUCAUCAUAGAAUUUUGUAAAGUCUUGAUUUUCAAAUUCACCUCUAGAUCAACAGUCUGACAAAUUAACCAGCAGCUCAACCUUCAUUAAUAUUGGUGAUAUUAAUGAAGGAAUUUGCACAAGAUCCAAAAGGCACGAAGAGUCUAGUGCUGUGGCUCUUAUUUAUGAAAUAGAACCCAAGAGCAUAGAAAAAGCUUUAACUGAUGAAAGCUGGAUUGAAGUUAUGCAAGAAGAACUCAAGCAAUUCAUCAUUAAUGAUGUCUGGGAAUUGACUUCUAAACCGAAAGGUAAGUCUAUCAUUGGAGCUAAAUGGGUUUUCAGGAACAAGAUGAACAAGAAAGGAAAUGUCAUAAGAAACAAAGCAAGACUCGUGGCCAAGGGAUAUACACAAGAAGGAGGGAUAGACUAUGAUGAGACUUACGCACUAGUAGCAAGGUUAAAAGCAAUUAGAUUAUUACUUGCUUUUGCUUGUCAUGAGAAUUUCAAGUUAUUUCAAAUGGACGUCAAAAGUGCUUUCCUAAAUGGAUUUAUCCAAGACGAAGUCUAUGUGGAACAACCACCUGGUUUUGAAGACCCAAGAAAACCAAACUCUGUAUUCAGACUGAAAAAGGCUUUAUAUGGUUUAAAGCAAGCACCUCGAGCUUGGUAUGACAGACUAAGUAAGUUUUUAAUUCAUAACGGUUUUGUCAAAGGUAAAGUAGAUACUACAUUGUUUAUCAAAAGAGAAAACAAAAUUUUUCUACUCGUUCAAAUUUAUGCUGAUAAUAUUAUUUUUGGAUCUUCUAAUGAAAAUCUGUGCAAGAAAUUUUCUAUGUCUAUGUAGGAUGAGUUUGAAAUGAGCAUGAUGGGUGAGGUAACCUUUUUUCUCGAGCUUCAAAUGAAACAAUUGAAGGAAUGAAUCUUUAUUCAUCAAGAAAAAUAUGCUAAAGAACUUGUCAAAAAGUUUGGACUAGAAAAUUGCAAAAAGACUGAUAUACCAAUGUCAAGUUCUUUGAAGAUGGAAAAUGAUGAAGAAGGAAAGAAAGUUGACCAUAAGCUAUACAGGAGUAUCAUUGGUUCACUUCUUUAUCUAAUUGCUUCCAGACCUGACAUUUUAUUUAGUGUUUGUAUUUGUGCCAGAUUUCAAUCAGACUCUAAAGAAUCUCAUUUAAGUGCUGCAAAGCGUGUCAUCAAAUACAUUACCUCAACUUCAAAUUUGGGUCUCCGGUAUCCUAAAGAAGGAGACUUUACUCUUCUUGGAUACUCAGCCGCAGACCUAGCCAGAUGCAGAGUUGAUAGAAAGAGCACCUCGGGCACCUGUCAACUACUUGGAAGCAGGACAAUAUCUUGGUUUUCAAGGAAGCAAAGUACAGUAGCUCUUUCUACAGCAGAAGCAGAGUAUGUAGCUCUUGGAAGUUGUUGUUCACAAAUUCUGUGGAUAAAACAACAGUUAAGAGACUUUGGAAUUAAAGAUUCAUGCACUCAAAUCAAAUAUGACAACACCAGCGCAAUCAAUCUCACCAAGAAUCCGAUUCUUCACUCAAGAGCAAAAUAUAUAGAGAUUCGACAUCAUUUCAUUAGAGAUCAUGUUCAAAAUGGAGAAGUUUCAAUUCAGUUUAUUGACUCAAAGAAUCAACUAGCGGAUAUAUUUACGAAGCCUUUGGAGAAAAAUCAAUUUGAAGUUAUUUGUUCCAGACUAAAUAUCUUAAAGUCUGAAGAAGUUCAGACUCAGGACUGAAAGUUUAAAGGUACUCAGACUCAAACAAUCAAGAUCUACUACUGUAAGUUAUUUCUAUUUUAGAAACUUAUUUGUCUGAUCAAAUCUUGAAAAGGUACGAUCAUCCAUCCAAAAUUAAUUGGUGUAAUUUUCCAAAUUUUUCGUGAUUAGUGCAAUCCUUCCUUUUUGAAAAAGAAGUUAUUUUUUAAAUGACAGUUAUUUAAUUUUUGAAAAUGCAGUUAUUUUUUAUUUCCUUUUUAUGACAUUCCGUAUGCCUUGCUUCGACUGCCUUAUAUACUAUCGGUUCUUCUUCGUUUUACUCACAAAAACCCUAAGAGAAGCACCAAUCUUCCACUUCUGUCUUCUUCUCUUGUUUAAUCCUCAAAAAAGUUUUCAUCUUUCUUGGGAAAUAAGCUUGGAAUCUCUCAAAAACUGUGAAAGAUGUCGUCUCAAAUAAAGUCUUCGAGGAUUGUGAACAGGGGACCACAGCAAAUGCGUGAGGGGCCUACGCACUUUGAUCUCACCGAGGAAGAAGAAUCUCCUAGACAGCAGCAGAGCCCACAACAUUCUCAGCAGCGUCCAUCUCCUCCAUCUAGACCUCAGGAUGUUGCACAUCAAGAAGAGGAAGAAAUCAUAGAAGAUGCAAAACCCGUAAGAACUCUUAAGCCCGCUUUUACCUACAAGCUUUAUUGUGCUUUGAAAAGGAGUGGUACUCCGUUGAACUACAUUGAUGAAUUUCUUAAAGACAAAGGGUAUAGAAAUGAAACUUUCUUUUUACGCACAUUGGAACGAUUGGGAAUUGCCCAUGCUGGGUUGGUGGAAGAGGCAUUGGAAAAUACCCCAAGCGAUCCACGUGUUGGAGGGCUGAGUCAACCAGAUGGGAAUGACGAUGAUAGGAUGUACAAUCAGUUUAAACCUAAAAUGGGUGUUGCAGCAAAAAUCCGAAGCAAUAGGACGGAUUUAUUUCGAUCGGAGGAACACAAGCAACUGUACUCUAAGUUGCUGAAGUGUGGGGUGAUAAACCCUAGAAGUGUGGACUUUGAUUUUCUUGACUUUGUGAAUGUCAAUCUGCAAGAAAAAUUCAGUCUUCUUCAACUCGAACAAUUUUGUUAUGAAACUACAGAAGCUCAUGCUGAACUUACUGCUUAUUUCUAUUCGAAUCUUAGUUUCUUGGAUGCAAAUAGGUUUUCUUUUAGUGUUCGAGAUCAGGACUAUGUGGUUGACAUGAAUACAUUGGCUAAUGUGAUUGGGGUUGAAAUAGGGAAAUAUCAACCUAUCAGUGUGUCUAUUGCUCGUGCAACGUUACAGCUUCUUAAGAAUAGAAGAACGGAAAGAAAGAUUUCCUAUUUGAGGUUGAAUGUGUCCAACAUUUUGCUUCACAAGAUUGUGAUUAACUGCCUCAGACCAAAAUCUACUUCAAAAUUUGACAUUUCAAACUCGGAGGCAAAGCUGAUGUAUGCCAUCAAUGCUGAAAUAAAGUUAUCUCUUCCACACACUAUUAUGUUACACAUGUAUAGAGUAGUGGUGAAGGACAAAUGUCAACUUCCUUACCCAGCUCCUGUGACCAAGUUAUUCAGACAUUUGAAUGUUCAGCCUCCCUGGAUUCUUGUGUUCAAACAUGUGAUCAAAUGGCGAUGGGACUAAAAAUGGUCUCUAAAAUGCGUCUGAAGGAACUCAACAAGGCAUUGAAACAAUUCAAGGAGAAAACCCCUAUCAAGACUCAUCCAAUCUCUUCGGUUGCAAAGAGGAAAGGGAAAGAGCCCAUGGUUGCUCCAUCCAAGAAAAGAAGAGCUCUAAUAAUUGAAGAUGAAGAGGAUGAGGAUGAUAUCACCAUUUUUGUGAUGGCAUUGAAGAACUUGAGUCGUUCUGUUUCAAAAUCGACGGAGAGACAUGAAAAAGACACGGAUGAGGCAGAAUAGAGGACUGGAGAGAAAGAAAAUUUGGUGAAAGAAGUAGAGGAGAGAGAUGCAGAGGAGGAAAGAAUUGAGGAAGAAGAAGAAGAUGAGAGAGGAGAUCAAGCGGAAGCAGAGCAUGAGGAACACUUUUCUCCACCUGAAGGCAUAAAAACAUGGGGAGAUCUUGAGAAAAGAGGAACGUCCUCAUUCCCUGCCACCAGUGAAGGAAUAAGUCGUUCUCCAGCAGAUCCAGAGGACAUCUAUGCCUCUCAAUUUCCUGAGGAGGGACAUGAUGUUUCAUCGCCCAAUUUGCGUGACCAUGAUGAUUUGCCAUCAUCUGCCUAUACUCUGUCUGAUCGUGCAGAAGCCAGUACUCAGACUGAUAAUUCAGUAUACUUUCGCAGAAUUCUUGAUGUUCCCUUGGAGAUGUGAGGUCAAAUAUAUGCUCUGAGAUGCAAAGUACAGAACUUGCAAAAUGCAGGUCAAACCUCUUUAGUUUCUUUGCACUAUCAAAUUCCUUCCCUUGCUCUUCAAGUUCAAGCAAAUGCCAAGGGUGAAGAUAUGGCACAACUGAAGGAGGAUUUGAAAAAGCUAGAAGGGAUUGUCCAGUUAAUGGGAGAUUUCCAACUUGUUCGUGUUCCCAAGCAAUCUUAAUUCCAUUCUCUUUUCAUCUCUACCUUUUUAAUGAUGACAAAAAGGGGGAGAAAUGUGGUACGUAUUUGAUUUUGAACUUUUGUGUCAAUUAUGUUUGAUUGAUUUGACUUUUGUGUUUAGCUGUUUGGAUUUGAACUGGAUUUGGAUUUGACCGUUUGAACAUUUGUUUAUCUUAAAUACUAUUGAUAUCUCAUGGCUUUGUUUAUUUACAAGACUAACCUACUUUCUGUGGAUGCAAAUUCUAGUGUUAUUUUUACUAAGCCAUUUAUCUUUGUGAGAUAUCCACAUUUGCUUGAGUAAUGUUUUGCAAGUCAAAGUUAUCCAAAUCUGCAGGAAAGUUUUGUCACCAUAAAAAAAGGGGAGAUUGUUGGAGAAAACUUCCUUGAAGUGUUUUGAAGUUGACAAAAUGUUUUCAUUAGUUUAGUUUGAAGACUUGCAGACUCUUCCAUCAAAGUCUGAAGACUCUGGAUUGCCAGACUCAAGACUCAAAAUCUAUCCUCAUUGACAACUUCUAGACCGUCGAAGAAGGUUUAUCCAGAACUGGAUGUUUCGUUAAGGAUUUGACUUUAUUGACUGGAGAAGAUCUCUUGGCUGGAUAUAGCAUGUCGGAAUCCAUUAUUCAAAUCAAGAUUGAUUCGGGGAUUUUGGAUUUGUUGAUUGGCGAAGUAUACUUGGAAGGUUCUACUUAUGGAAACCUAGAUCCUGAUUGUAUGGGCAAGCAUGAUUGAUGAGCUAUCAUCAUGUUCCUUAAAUAGCUCGAAGAUCUUCUUAAUUGAUUCUGUCCAACGAGUAGAUUAGAAGAAUUCCUUUGGUAAGUGCCAAUGGGUGUGAUGGCAUAAAGGAGUAUAUAAGGAAGAUGAUCCAGUUGUUCGAGUGUGUGCACGAUAGAAGAAUUCCAAAGUCUGAAGCUCCUUGUUCUUUGUCAAUUAAACCGUUGAGCGAAAUCUUAUAUGUAAAAGAGAGUCUAUAUCUUUGAGAGACCUUAAGGAAGUGUAGUACAGUCUCUACAUUGUGAAAUCAAGGAAGAGCUUUUCUCUAACAACUCUUUUGUUCAUAGUGAAAUCCAGCCAGUGGGCUAUCAGUGCUGAAGAGUGGACGUAGACUUGGAUUAAGCCGAACCACUAUAAUCUCUACGUUCAUAUUCUCUUCUCUACGCUCUUUUACUUAGAUCGUAACUUGUUUUGUUUACAAGAAAAGAAUUUCCUUUUCAUAAUCUAUUGUUGAUUAGUGCUGCACACUUAUCUCGUAAAGUUAUUUUUACACCUAUUCAUCCCCCUCUAGGUGCUCAUUCUAGCUCUUACAAAUCUCGCCACCCUUGAUCCCUCACCACGAGGAGAGAAAAGGGGGGAAAUGUCAAAUUUAGGAGUAUUUGAUCACGAGAGCAACCUCACGGCUUGUGUUCCAAAAGACAUCAUCACCUCGCCUUUCAAGUCAAACCUUUCGCAAGUUCCCUCCAUGAGAUCACGAGUUCUCCCAAACUCGUACCCCGCACGACAACAGAAUGUGGUGACCCAUACCCACACGGGCGACACAUCUCGAGAGAAGAGGUCGGAUGUGAAUAUCAGAUUUGAUGGUACCUUUACUAUGGUAGUUCUCUCAAUAGUACCAUUUAUCCAUAAGGAUGGCAUCACUUCAUCCUUUGGAGUACUGCCACAUCGAGUAUAUUAAACAAUGGUGAGUUUUAUCGAAACGGGUACCUUGCACGACGGGUUCAUUUAUACUGUUUAGUUGUUUAUGACAAUCUAAAAAUAAAACAAGAAUCACCACUAGUCUCAUUUCGGGGGUCGACUAGAAGAUCUAAUCGAGGGUCGAGAGUGUUCCCUCAUUCCUAUUCAACUAAAUAUCUAAAUUCAGGGACUUGGGUUACGCUGAUAUUUCUAUUAACGCCCUCUUGGUACUUCAACAGUAUGUUACAUUUACCUAACGUGUCCAUGUAAUUUUUUUUUUUUACAUUUUCGGGAUCGUUAAUCCAAAACUAAGCGAUCAUGUGUGGUUGGUCAUUUUCAUGCUAUUCUCUUUCUAAAGAACAAGAAAAGAAAACAAUAAAUGGAAUUGAAAUUGCGAGACAAUAAAUAAACAAUCAAAGAAAGCAGUAAAUCUACCAUGCAAUCCUAGAAUAUAUAAAAAAGAAACACAAUUGAAAAAAAAAAAAGGAAGAGAGAAAACCCGCAACUUGUCAUGCUUUAUACAACAAAUGGAACCUAAGACAUAUAUUGAGGAAAUGAAUAGUACAUGAUAAUGGUCGGGAUAGAUAUUGAUCUCCAUCGUCUUCGUGCUUUCUUCAUCUUUGGGAUCCUAAUCUAAACUUAAUCUGGAAACCAAUAACUAGGUACAUACAAUGGAAAGAAACAGUAUACACAUCAAAACAAUAAAAAAACAUGACAUCAUGUCAAGAUCAAUCAUUUAAAGAAAGUUCAAUGCCAAAAUCAUAUUUUGGGGCCUUGGGGUCGGCCUUUGUCUUUCAUAUGAGGGUUCCACUAAAACAUCUACUCAAUCCAUUUUUAUGACUUAUAGCUAUUAUUGAACAAUUGUGUUUUUACAUGACUAAUAACGCUGAUAAGUCUUCUAACCAAGCAAUCUAUGUGAUCCUAGGGUUUUCCCUCGAUAUCAUGUAUCGACCCUACCAUUCAUCUAAAAGUCACAUGCAUUGUAGAAAUUUAAACGUGAAUGUAGGUCUUUUGAACCUUAUUUCUCAACCAAUUAAACGGAUGAGUGAGUUGUCAGCGGAUCAUUUAUUACCAAAGUCAUACGCCAAUCAUAAACACAAACAAUUCUAAAUGUAUGACAUAAUUGUAUGCAUGGAGGGUACAUGUGAUGUUCAAAGACAUUUCUUGAAAUUAUUCACAAUUUUUUUUUGAGAUAAAGUGAUGUAUCAGUUAUGAAAGGCAUUCAAUUACCAAAGCUAGCUCGGAGCUCACAUAAAUGCACUUACAAGCGUUGUAUGCAUUUUGAAUAUAAUUCAAAUCAUGACUUUUACGAUGUCAAAUCAGGAUUUAAAAAGGUUUAAAAAUAUUUAGGAUUAAGGAAUAUAUAGGCUAUGAAACACAUUAAAUUGCCAAGAUUAGCCUAGGGCUCGCAUAAAUGUACUCACGAGCAUCGUAGGCAUUUUGAAUAAUGUUCAACUCACGAUUUUUCCUUAAGCCAAAUCAAGUUUGGAAAAGAAUUUUUAAACAAAUUAUUUUUGGGAAACUUCAUAUGUACCAAAGUAUUUUUUAAAUUUGAUUUAAGAAGACAAUUCAUCCAAAAAUCAUUUAACAAUGGAUAUUGAGGUAUUUAAAGCAUGGAAUGACCUAGGUUCAUGCACAAACUAACCUAAAAAGUUUAUCUAAAUAAUCACAAUCAUGUUCACAUCAAGAAAUUUUUUGACCAAGCAGAAUGUUACAGCAAAAUUGAAUAAUGUCCAUCAACAAUCUAGUUUUAACAAAAAUCACUGAUAUGUAGGACAUAAUAACGAACAACUUUUGUGAAGAAAAUUUUCCUAAACAAGCUAUACAUGAUUUUAAAAUAAAAUAAAAUCAGACAACAAGCAGCAACAUAUCAAAAAGUUGUCAAAACAACAGGACAUUUAGCCAAUAUCACAAGGAUUUGUCUUAUCAAAAAAAGUCUAAAAAUCAUCAAAUUUUCACACAACAUAGCCAAUAUGUUGACAAACAAGUUUGGCUAAAAGGCCAAGUGCAGAAUCGUAAUAGAAAAAAUGGAACAAAAAUAUCAAAGGUCUAUACAAACAGGGGUUAGAAUAAGAAUUUGAAUUUGAUCCAAUGUCUAGAUUUUGAUCUAGUUUUGAAAAAAUGGAAAGUGAUCCAAACGAUGAGCGAUUUACGUGAAAUUAGUGGCAUUGGAAACUUCUAAGUGUGCCUUAUGACUUCUUAGAAGGGCUCGAGUCUAAACUGAAAGGGCUAGUAAGAACACCUAGAGGAGGGGUGAAUAGGUGUUAAAAGAAAUUUUUUGCGGAAACGUUUAUCAAAACUUUUUCUUUCGAAGUGGAAUCUACAAAGUAAUAGACUAGAGCAAGUUUAAAUAAAUUUAUGAAUGAAUAAAAGAGUUCAGUGAAGAGAAUUAAAAACACAAAGAUUAUAGUGGUUCGGCUUAGAUCAAACCUCCGUCCACUCUCCUGCGCUAACAGCCCACUUACUGGAUUUUACCAUGAAUCAAAAGAGAUUUUACAACUUGUGAUCUUCGACUUUUUCAGUGAAGUGUUUCUCCUGGUUUCUCACAAAGUCUCACUAAGGGUUUCUCUCUUUUGUAUAUAGUUUUGAGUUCAAUGAUUGAGAAAGUAAAGAAUUAGAAAGCUUCAAAUUUUGAAAUUUGUCUUUCAUGCACUUCUUAGAACAACUUAGCAAGAUCACCUUAUAUACUCCUUCAUGCUAAAACGAUCGUUGGCACUUUCUAAAAGAGUUCUUCCAAUCUACCCGUUGGACAAAAUCAAUUAAGGAGAUCUCGAGUCGUUUUAGGAAUGUGAUGAAAGCUCAUCAAUCCUGCUUGCCCAUAUAAUUAAGAUCUUGGUUCCAUAAGUAAAACCUUCCAAGUUUGUUUGCCUUCAAAAAGAUCUUCAUAUUAGAAUUGAUUCAAAUAAGAAUAAUCAAUCAAGUAAUUGCUAUGUCCAGCCAUAAGGUCUUCCAAAAACCAUAUGAAUCAAAUCCUUGAAGGUAAUCUCGUAUCUGGAUAAGUCUUCAUUCUUCGGUCUAGAAAUUGUCAAUGAGGGCAGACUUUGAGAUUAAAGUCUGGCGGUCUUCAGACUAUAAUACUUAAGUCUGCAAGUCUUCAGACUAGAAUUUUGGAGAGUUUUGUCAGUUUCAAAACAAUAAAGGAGUUUUCUCUAACACAAACUAGGUCAAUUAAGUACUCUAAGAUCAAGAUCUCGAAAUAUGCGCAUGUUAGUAAUUGAAAAAAAAAACACAAACAUACAUCAAUAAAUCUCAAAACCAUUCAAGUAAUGCACAAAUGACAUGAAAAAAAAAAUCACAUGCGACAUAAAAUUAGAUGUGAUAAACAAUUAAGGUGAUUAUCUAACCCUAAAUCGGCAUAAGAAAAUGUCAUGCAAUUCGAUAACAAUACAAAUAGACUCAAGAUUCAGGAUGAAAUGCUUGAGAGUUUCUAGGUAAACAUGUGCUCUUACAGCACAUAUUAAUCAUGCAAAAUGACACUUAAAUGCAAUGAUGUGAACAUGUAUUCAAACCUUAUAACAUGAGAUUUAAGUGUCAAUAAGACAUUAUCAUAAAAUUUGGAUCUAAAUGACUCAAACAAACAUGGCAAGGUGCAUGUACAACAAGAUUUGUUUUCAGCAUUAGUCAUAGAACGUGCACGAUUUCAGAUAUCUCAAAAUGUGCAAAAAACUCUUACAAAAAAUCAUACACAUAGAACAUGCGAUGAUGAAUGUUUCUCAUUGAGAGUUCAAAACCUAAAUGUGAUCACAUGAAUCGCAGCAAAAAUGACAAAACAAAGAUGCACAUUUAGACUAUAUACCGAUGUAGCAUGUUUUAACCUUAACUCAUACAAUUUACUUAUUUACCAAGGUCAAAACUUUGCAAAGCAUGGAGGUAAGUAUACUAGAAGUGUCAAAAGUUGUGUACGAUGCUUACUUUGGUGCCAAAAGUUUAUGUCGAAUCACUUAAGUGCCAAAUUGGAGAAAAACGAUCAUUUUGGUGCCACCGCCGAGAGAUUGUGGCUAAAAUGAUUACAUGGCUUUUAUAUUUAAAAAAAUAAAAUCAAUAUGGCUUUUAAACAAUGUCGUAUUCCGUCCUCCUUAAGAAAAUAUCGUUGUCUUGCCGUCAUACGUGGAUGACCUCACAAAAAUGACGUUGCACAGCUCAUAUGGGAUUGAAAUUAGGAUUUUUUUUUGUUUGAUCCUCGCCCAACACCGACCUAGCUCGCUUGGCCACCAUCACUUGACUACUAUUGCUCGGCCACCAUUGCUCGGCCUCCAUCAUAGUUGCUUGACUAGGUGAGCGAGGAGAAGAUGAGGUUAUUUCUCGGGCAAGAAGUGACAUGAAGAAUAGGAGGCGAGAGCGGAGGAGGAGGAAGAAGGGGGGUUGAAGGUGGAGAGAGUGAAGACAAGGAGGGCAAGGGAAACAAUGAGGGCGUAGAUAGAGAUGGUGGAUUGGGUUCUACUCAGGGAGCGAUUGAAGUGGGUCCUUCUAAAGGGAGAAGGAGAAUGAGGAGGAGAGGAGGAGGAGGACAAAAGCUUGGGCUUGUUGACAAUGUCGGAUGAACCGGACGCGGAGUUGUGCUAGUGCUGGUGUCGGUGUUGGUGUUGGUGUCGCUGCUAGUGCUGGUGCUAGUGAGAUGUUCUUCGGGGAAGAAGACGAUGGGGAAGCCAAUGCCAUGCCUUCUCUCUCUCUCUCUCUCUCUCUCUCUCUCUCUCUCUCUCUCUCAAUUUCGGGAUUUAGGGUUUUGACUUGGGGGAAAAACACCAAACGGCGUCAUUUUGUUGUUUAGAUGUUGAUUGUACUCUCCGUCAAGCUACAUCGGCUUCAAAAAUUAAUAAAAAAGUACAACGUCGGAUUUUCGGUCGAUCAUAUCGGCGUUGGCACUAAAAUGAUCAUUUUUCAAAGUUUUUAGCAUUUAAGUGAUCCAAAAUAAUUUUUGAUAUCAAAUUGAGUGCCAUACAUAAUUUUUGGCACUUCUAAUGUACUUAUCCCCAAAACAUGCAUCAAUUGAAUAUAUAUAUAUAUAUAUAUAUAUAUAUAUAUAUAUAUAUUAAGUGCAUUUGUGGACUCAAUUUUAUCAAAAGAAAAUUCGGACUAAUGUAGGAUAAACUGUCCUAUGUUCAGAUCUAAAUAAUUUUGACAUAAUUAAACUCAUUCAAAAAUUGUGAAAAAAUCACAUGAUAUUUUUCACAUAAUUACGAGCAACUUUCAUGAAGAAAAGUUCUUUUAGAAAUCAAUACAAAAAUUAGUAAAAAAUGACAAAAUCAAAGAGCAAUACUGAACAGACUAACUUGGACUUGGAUCUGAUUAGAUUUGACCUAGUUAAGCACAUUCAAAAAUCAUAAAAAAAAAAAAAAAUUAUAGGAUGUUCUCCACACAAUUACAAGCAACUUUCAUGAAGAAAAUUUCUUCCAGAACUCAACAAAAAAAAAUGAUAGAAUCAGAGAUCAAUACGGAACAGAUUAACCUAGGCUUGGAUCUGAGUAGAUUUGACCUAGUUAAGCACAUCCAAAAAUCGUGAAAAAAUUAUAGGUUAUGCACAAAAUGAUUUGAAACAAAACUCAUGAGGUAAGAUUAUCCAAAAAUUAUCACAGAAGGCUACACAAAAAUAGUAAAGUCUUAUUUUGGAGCAAAAACAGAACUAAAAGUCCAACUGAACUACAGCAAAAUCGCUCAUUUUCGGAGAUAUUUUUUUAGGGUCAAACAACGCUCAAUUGGACCGUGCAACCUUUCGUUUCGAAGCUCGAGAUGUCUAUUAUCUAAUUUUAAAGGAUUCGAGUUGAAACGAGGUCGAUUCGAACCUCGUUUUGGUCAAAAUAGUAAAUUAAUUCUAAGGUUACGAAAUUGCAAAUUUAAGCAAAAUCAAGCACAAUCAUUCAAGUUCAAGCUUCAACAUUUCAUCAAAGAUUACAUGAGCAUAGCAUAUAUCCCUAAUAGUAAAUUCUAGCCUUGGUUGGCUAAUCCAACCUUGCUUCAUGGGAUUCGAGACCGAGAAAUUACAUUUUAUCACGAUUUAGUCGAUUUUGAUUGAAAUUGAUCGAAGUUUUCGCCAAAACCUCCAUCAGACCACCACAAACCGCAAAGGACUAGAUCCGGACAGCAAGGAACAACUUCAAAAGGUGGCUGAAUCACCUACAACAAAGGAAAAUAGAACCGGUCCAAGAGUUGAAUCGGUUUCGACGUGGCCAAAGUAGAUUGAUUCACUGGUGCUCUUCCGAUGACCAGCUGGUGAAGACCAAACCAUGAACAAGUGAUUGACAAGCCCGAGGAUAGAUCGGAGUAGGAACGCCGCCAGCAGGGGGCUUGAACUGGUGGUGAUGGUUUUGCCGAAGAAGGAUUUGGUCAAACCGGUAGGGAGAGAGAGAGAGAGAGAGAGAGAGAGAGAGAGAGAGAGAGAGAGAGAGAGAGAGAGAGAGAGAGAGAGAGAUUUUGGUGGGAAAUAACAGAAAAGAGAGAGAGAGAUUGAUGAGAGAGAGAAAUUUCGUGCAUAAAUGAAAUCCCCCCUAAAAUGGAAAAAAAAAAUCACUUAUAUACUCCCAAAUUAAGCGAUUUCGACUGUCAGUUCGAUUUGAUGGUCGAAAUUUUGAUCCAAUGGUCAAAAAUCGAUUUCGAAUGCUUCAUCAUGAUCUCGAGGUGACGAGUAAUUAAUCUAGUGGGUUUGAUUUGCAAAUACCCAAGCAAAAAUCGAGAAUUGCAUCAAAAUGUCCGAUUAUGGGUUAACUUCUAAUUAGAUAAAAUUCAAGGGUCAAUCUUUAAAUCAAGAAAUUGAAGUUGCAAAAGUGAAAUUGAUAUUGGGAGAAUCUUAGAAUCGAUUGCCGAAGGUUAGGAACAGCUGCAAAGGGGCUGAAUUAGCCAGCCCUGCUAGCGGUCGAUUAGAUCGAUUAGACUUGUUUAGUCUGGUUCGGCCAAUUUUUGAUUGGUUCUUGAUCAGUUUGGUUUGGUUCUCAUUAUUCAUUGACUUGGGGUCCUUAUGACUCCAAAAUUUAUGCAAUUUGCUCCCUAAAAUACCAAAUUGAAAAGGGAUUUUACCCCAUUUAAGAAGAAAUUGGUCAAUUAAGGUACAAUUAUGCUAAUCAAACCUUAUGAACAUGAUCUAGGGUUCUUUUAUUGACCUAAUUGAAUAAUUAUCGUGAAAAACAACGGGUCAACAUUAUGGGUGCUUUAAAUUGGGCCUAAAUGACUAAAAUGAUAAAAUUUGCAAUUCAAUUAGCAAAAUUAUAAAUUAACUAAAAUUGAACUCAAUUAGUGUCACAAUUGCCAUGUCUAAUGAACUACCCAUGUGUAAGAUCACUUAUCGCAUUCAAAUUGACCUUGAAUUGAAGCGCUCGGGCUUAGGUAAAAAAAUGGAUCUAAGCCUAAUAUUAAAAUUGGACCUAGAUUUAUGAAAUUAAACCAUAUCUAUGAAUGGGUCAAUUCGAAUUUUGAUGAUUGAUGCUUAACUGCUUGACUUUCUUAUGAUUGAGAGAAUAAAAUCCAUUAAAUUGAUAAGUUCUAGUGUGAAUUUUCCGAAAUUGAUUAUGAAUUUGGACUUAUCUUAAGAAAAUGAGCGAGAAACAAUUGUCUGUUUGCAAGUCAUGAAUAAUCGAUUUUGGUUCCCUAAUUAUGGCUCAAAACAGCAAUUCGCAUUUUGACUCGGCAAGUCAUGAAAUUGAACACACAAGCGGAUUUCAAAUAGUCCCUAAAACAAAUGUCAAAGAAUGAACUGUACCUAAUUAUGACUAGAAUAAAAGUUAUAUUAUUUUUAGUCGAUUUAGAACCUAAAACUGAAAAAAUUCAAAAAUCAAGAUUCUUAAUUGAAUUUGUGAAAUUUUCAACGCAAAAGUCAAAUUGACAUAAAAUGAAAUGUGUUGUGAAUUUUUUUUAUUUUUUCCAUUUUGUUUAUCAAAGAUUUGACCAAAAGGCAACCAUUUAGUUGACUUUUCCUAAAAGAUUGAUUUUUUGGUCAAAUCUUUGAAUUUUCAAGAAAUUAAUUUGACAAAAGUGAAAUUAAAGCUAAAUGAAAUCUUUUUAGGUAAAAAGUCAAUUUUUGACAUGGGAUUGAAUUUUUGUCAAAAGGUUGACUAAAAAGCCAACUCAAAAGUCAACCAUUUGACUUUUCGAUUUUUUUUUUCAUGAAAAUGAGUUAGAAAUUGCUUAAAAACAACAAUGCAAAAGAAAGAAAAGAAAAAACGACGCUUUUGGCUUAGAAAUUAGGCUCCAUCGCUAUCAGAAACCCAAAUCUUGACUUUUUACCUUUUAUCGACACGUUGACUAAAAAUUAAGUGUCAACAGCUUUGGGUUCAAGAUUUUCCCAAAUUGGAAUUGGUUAAAAAUUCCUCUUAAUCGAACCAUGAACACCCCUACCUGUAAGAAAGGGCAGUAUGGCCCCAUCCUAUGACUAGUGAGGGUUGCGCACAACCUUGACAUCCACCAGUAAGGGUUGUGCAACCCUCACUAGUGCUCGAUGUGGGGAAGACCGUGUGAAACAUUCUUAUACUUAUCCAUAGUAUGUGAGCCACGUUAUAUCAAUUAUUGAAAAGUAUGAAUUCUAGUGAGGACAGCUUUGACGUGAUAAUUGAGAUGGAGUUGGGUCACAUAUACCAUGUGCAUUCAAUAUUCACUUGGAUGGCCCAGGCUCGACUUGAAGUGGAAGUCUUAUAAGCGAAUUAUUGCUCAGGACUGAAAGGGUUAGUAACAACACUUAGAGGGGGGUGAAUAGGUGUUAUGAAUUUUUUUUUUUUUUUUUGCAAAGUUCAGUAGAAGUAUUUUCUUUUAGAAAAUGAUAUAUUUUGAACGAAUUCAGACUUUAGCAAUUAGAUGAAACUACAAACAAAAUAAAAUGAGUUCAUGGAAGAGAAUAAGAACAUAGAGUUUAUAGUGGUUCGGCUUUGAUCAAGCCUACGUCCACUCGCCCACGUCGACAGUCUACUAGCUAGAUUUCACUAAAGAUCAAAAGAGAUUUUUACAGCCUUGAUGAUCUUGACUUCACAAUAAAGAGUCUGCUACUCUUUCAUGAAGUCACACUAUAAGUCUUUCUCUCUUUUAAAUACAAAUUUUAGCUCAGUGAAUGAAAUAGCAAGGAACUAGAAAGCUUUAGACUUUGAAACUUUUCUUUCACACACUUAUUGAAUGACUAGAGACGUCUCCUUUAAAUACUCCUUCAUACCUUCUUGACCGUUGGCAUUUUCCAAAGAAAUUUCUCCAAUCAACUCGUUUGACAGAAUCAAUUAAGGAGAUCUCGAGCCGUUGAAAGCCCAUCAAUCAUGUUCGCCCAUACAAUCAGGAUUUUGGUUUCCAUAAGUAGAUUCUUUCCAAGUUUACUUGUCUUCCAAAAGAUUGGAAUAUCGAAAUUGAUUCCAUUAAAGAUACCCAAUCAUGCAGGUGCUAUAUCCAACCAGAAAGCCAUCCAUAAGCCAUACGAACCGAACCUUUGAAGAAAUAAAGAUGAUCUUGCGUCUGGAUAAGUCUUCAUUCUUUAGUGGCAUUCAGUUUGGAAUUUGUCAAUGUGGGCAGAUUUUGACACUAACGUUUGGCAGUCAUCAGACUUUGACAUUAAAGUCUGGAAGUCUUCAGACUAGACUUUGGAUAAAUUUUGUCAACUUCAAAACAUUAAAUGAGUUUUUUCCAACAAUGACAAAUGCAUGAACUAGCCAAACUAGGAAAGUCUAUAAGUGUGCUUGUUGUGAGCCACGAUUUUUGAAGGAGUUGACUCCACAAUAAUUUUUAAUUAUUUGUUAUUUAUUUUUAUGUGAUCCAAAACACGCUGUUAGUAUCACAGUAUAUUACAGCUAUAUAAGCAUUUCAUAUUUUCAUUUUAGAACUUGGAAACAAAACAAAAUGGGGAUAUCUUCUUUUUCCUAGGGACUCACGUAUCCGUUGUUUACCAACUCAAUCUAUUUGACAAAAUGCGAAUUAGAGAUAGUGUACUAUUUAAUCUGCAACACAGAUAGAAGACCAAAAGGCACAAAGCUUGACACAGCAAAAGGAAAAGAAGGAAUUGAAAAGAAUGACUGAAUACAAACCAACAAGCUCCCCGCAAGAAGGAACGCAGCUUUUUAUUAGCCAACUACGUGUUGGCCAAAUAACAUCUGCAAGGACCAGUAGUACAACAUAAAUGAAAGACUAGAAUCACAACCCCGAAGCAUCUCCCUAUGGAAACGAAGCCACGAUUGACAAUGCCACUGAAAAUCUUUUAUUUUUUUAGCUCGAGAAACACACUUUCACUGGCCAACCAGAUAUUGACCUCCCUAAAGUGCGAAUGGAACAUUUCUUUAUUCUUCAUUUUUUUAAAUAUUUUGUAUGUUUUUUCCUCCACCGUCAAACCAAACAUCUUCAAAGCUUACACAUAACACAUGCAAAUUAUUGAAUGCGUGUGUUAUUUGUACUGAAACUUCAACCCAGAAUCGUGCAACUUCUCGUCCAUUACUUGGUCAAUCCUGUCGGCCAUCUCAGCACUCAGAUAAUUCACCCAAUCUCCAACCUCCCCUCUCCUGAAGAACCACUUGUUCUCUUGUCCAGUCCACAGCUUUCCGCUCUUAUUCACCUCCAAUGAGCUCAAAUUGUUGAAACUACACAUCCUCAAUAUUCCAUCCACAGUCUCGUCUCUCAGUUCUUCAUCGCUGAAUGGACACCCCAAGAAAUCAGCCAACCUACGAGCAAAUAUUGGGUGGUCCGGGACCACCACGUCAGCGUGGUCCCGGACCACUCAUAUGGCGCCACAUAUGAGGGGAGGGUGAUAUUGCUAGUAUGAGUACCUAGAGGGGGGUGAAUAGGUAUAUAAAAGAUUUUUCUUCAACAAUUGCACAAUACUAGACAGUUGAAGGAAACGAUAAUCAAAGUAAGAUUGAGAGAAGAGAAAAUUGAACACGCGGUUUAUGGUGGUUCGGCUUAUAUCAAGCCUACGUCCACUCUUCUUCACUGACAGCCUAUUGGCUGGAUUCCACUAUGAACAAAAGAGAAGUUACAGCACAGCUUUGCCUUGAUUCCACAGUGUAGAUGUUCUACCACACCUCCUCAAGAUUUCUCACAAAUAUAGACUCUCUUUUGUAUACAAGUAUUCGCUCAAAGGAUUUGUCUAAACAAAAAGGAGCUUCAGACUUUGGAAUUCUUCUAUCGCGCACACCUUGAACAACUAAGACAAUCCUCCUUAUAUACUCCUUUAUGCCAUCAUACCCGUUGGCACUUACCAAAGGAAUUCCUCCAAUCUACCCGUUGGACGGAAUCAAUUAGGAAGAUUGUUCAAGCUAUUAAAGGAACGUGUUGAUAGCCAAUCAAUCCUGUUCGCCCAUACAAUCAGGAUCUCGGUUUCCAUAAGCAGAACCUUCCAAUAUUAUUUAGGCAAUCACCGGAUCUUCAAUUAUCGAGUCAAUCUUCGAUCAAUCAACCCGUUAUGUCUUUUCCAGCCACGAGAUCUUCUCCAGUUGAUAAGGUUAAAUCCUUAACGAAACAUCCAAAUCUGGAUAACCUUUCUUCAACGGAUUAGAGACUGUCAAUGAGGAUAGACUUUGAGUCUUGAGUCUGGCUGUCUGGAGGUCUUCAAACUUUAAAUAGCAGAGUCUGCAAGCCUUCAGACUAGACUGAUAGAAACGUUUUGUCAACUUCAAAACACUUCAAGAAGAUUUCUCCAACAAUCUCCCCAUUUUUGAUGGUGACAAAACUUUCCUGCAGAUUUGGAUAUCUUUGACCUGCAAAACAUUUCUCAAACACAUAUGCAUAUCUUAUAGAGAUAAAUGGCUAACAGGAUAACACUAGAAUCUGCAACCACAGAAAAUAGGUUAGUUCAGUAUAUGAUGAAGCCAUUCAUAAGAUAUCAAUAUUAGUUAAUAGAAGCAGUCAAGUCCAAGUCUAGUUCAGUUCUCAUCCAAACACAAAACAAAGUCAAACAGAGUUCAAACCACAAAACAAUCCAACAAACAAUUAAAAGUUUAAUGAAUGAAAAUUUUUUGAUCAAAUCUUGCAUCUCUCCCCCUUUUUGUCAUCAUUAAAAAGGAUGAGAUGAAGUCAAGAUUGCUUGGGAACGCGGACAAGCUGGAAAUCUUCCAUAGACUGAACGAUGCCUUCCAGCCUUUUAAAGUCUUCCUUUAGUUGUGCAAUCUCCUCACUCUUGGCAUUGGCCUGAUUCUGAACAGAGAGGGCUUGCAUUUUAUCAUUCAAUGAACAGGAAGAAGCUUGACCUUCAUUCUUCAAGCUUUGAACUUCGCAUCCAAAGGCAUAAAUUUGACCUCGCAUCUCCAAGAGAAUAUCCAUGAUUCUGUGAAAAUUUGCUCCAUUAUCAGUCUGAGUACUUGCUUCGGCUCGAUCUGAUGGAGUAAAUGCAGACGAUGGUAGAUCAGUAUAAUCUCGCAGGUUUGGCGAUGAAACUUCAUGACCUUCUUCUGGAAACUGAGAUGCAUAAACAUCAUUUGGGUCUGCUGGUGAGCGACUGACUCCUUCACUUGCAUCAGGACAUGAAGACUUCACUCCUUUCUCCUGAUCUCCCCCUGUUUCCAUGCCUACAGGUGGAGAAGAGUGUUCCUCAGGUUCUCCUUCUUCUCUUCUUUCUUCUUCUGGUCUUUCCUCCUCUGUUUCUUUUUCAGCUUCUAUUUCUUCUUCUUCCUUCUCCUCUGCUUCUUUCGUCAUUUGUUCCGAUUCUUUCUGUGGAACAGGACGACUUAAAUUCUUCAAAGCCAUUGCAGAGAUGGUGAUGUCUUCCUCAUCAUCUUCAUCCUCAACGAGGAGAGCUCUUCUUCUCUUGGAUGGAGCAACAAUGGGCUCCUUCCCUUUUCUUUUAGCUGCAGAAGAGAUUUGAUGAGAUUUGGCAGGAGUCUUCUCCUUGAAUUUCUCCAACUCCUUGCUCAGUUCCUUCAGACGCAUUUUGGUCACCAUUUUCAGUCCUACCACCAUAUGAUCGCAUGGUCGAACACAAAAGAUUUGCGGAGGCUGAAUAUUCAGAUGUCUGAAUAACUUCGUAACAAGGCUUGGGUAAGGGAGUCGACCUCUGUCCUUCAUCAUUGCUCUAUACAUGUGAAACAUCACAGUGUGAGGGAGAGAAAACAUUUUUCCAAAGAGAAUGGCAUACAUCAGCUUGGCCUCUGAACUUGAAACAUCAGUCUUGGAAGUUGAUUUCGGUCGGAGGCAAUUAAUCACAAUCUUGUGAAGCAAGAUGUUGAAUGCACCCAUCCUUAAGUAGGUGAUCUUUUCAUCUGUUCUCCUGUCCUUCACCAGUUCAAGUGUGGCCCGAGCAAUGGAAACUUUGAUUGGUUGAUAUCUUCCUCUUUCGACUUCUAACACAUCUGCCAGCAUAUUCAUAUCCACAACAUAGUCUUAGUCUUUAACGCUGAAAGAGAAUCUAUUCGCAUCUAAAAAGCUUAAAUUUGAAUAGAAAUAUGCAGUUAAUUCAGCAUAUGCCUCUGUAGAGUCAGAGCAGAACUUUUCAAGUUGAAGAUAACUGAACUUUUCCCUCAAGUUCAUAUUCACAGCAUCCAAAAAAUCAAAAUCCACACUCCUAGGGUUUAUUACCCCACGCUUCAGCAAUUUCGAGUACAGAUCCUUUUGCUCAUUCGAUUUGAAUAAAUCUCCCCUUUUUUCCUUGAUUUUCAACCGCAACACCCAUUUUUGGUUGAAAUUGACUGUAUAAUUUGUCAUCAUCAUUCCCAUCUACAGGAUUCGGCCCCCAAUCACGAGGAUCACUUGGGAUAUUCGCAAGGGUUUCUUCAGCCACCCCUUUACGAGCAAUUCCCAAACUUUCCAUUUUUCGCAGAAAAUAUAUUCGUUCCCAUGUCAUUUGUCUUUAAGAAAAUCAUCUAUGUAGUUCAAAGGAGUACGGAUUCCUUUUAAAGCACGAUAUAGCUGGUAAAUAUAAGCGGGCUUUUGAACUCUUACAGGGUCUGCAUCCUCGAUGAUUUCUUCCUGAUGUUGAUGAUUAACGCUUUGAGGACUAGAUGGAGGAGAAUGACGCUACUGAGAAUGUUGUGGGCUCGCUUGCUGUUCUAGAGUCACUUCUUCUUCAGUAAGAUCGAAGUGCGUAGGCCCCUCACUCAUUCGCCGUGGUCCCCUGCUUGCGAUUCUUGAAGACUUUCUUGAAGAUGACAUCUUUCUCAGUUUUUGGAAGAUUCCUUGCUUGACUUUCCCAGGAAAGAUGACAACUUUUUGAAGAUUAAACAAAGAAGACAAACGGGAAUGGAGGAUCGAUGCUUUCUAGGGUUUUCGAGAGUAAAGUGAAAAGGAAUCGACAGUGCUUGAUCGGUUAAAAAGAGGGAUAAACGAACCGUCACAAAGGAAAUAAAAAAAAUGCCUUUUCAAAAUAACUGUCUUUUUCCACAAAAAUAGCCAUUUCAAAAAUAACUUCCUUUUUGAAAAUGAAACGAUGCAAUAUUUACGUCAAUUAAAUAUAGCAACAAUUUAACACAGUCUGACGAUCGUACCUUUUCAAGAUGAGAUUUAAGGAGAGAAAGACUUACAGUCUGACGGUCGUACCAAGACUAUCUUUCAGAUAAAGUCUUGUAAGUCUGAGUCUGAAAGUCUUUAGACUUUGAUAUCCUCAUACCUCAAAAUGUUGAGUCUGGAACGUAUAGACUCAAAUUGAUUUUUCUCCAAAGGCUUUGUGAAUAUAUCCGCCAAUUGAUUCUUUGAGUCAACAAAUUGAAUUGAAACAUCUCCAUUUUGAACAUGGUCUCUAAUAAAGUGAUGUCGAAUCUCUAUAUGCUUUGCUCUUGAGUGGAGAAUUGGAUUUUUGGUGAGGUUGAUAGCGCUGGUGUUGUCGCAAUUAAUCUCCGUGCAUGAGUCUUCAAUUUCAAAGUCUCUUAGCUGCUAUUUUAUCCAUAGAAUUUGCGAACAGCAGCUUCCAAGGGCUACAUACUCUGCUUCUGUUGUUGAAAGGGACACAGUGCUUUGUUUCCUUGAAAACCAAGACACUGUCCUGCUUCCAAGCAACUGGCAGGUUCCCGAAGUGCUUUUUCUAUCAACUCUGCAACCGGCUAGAUCUGCGUCUGAAUAUCCCAGAAGAUUAAAGUCUCCCUUCUUAGGAUACCAAAGACCAAUGCUUGAUGAUGAAGUAACGUAUUUAAUGAUGCGUUUCGCAGCACUGAGAUGGGAUUCUCUAGGAUCUGAUUGAAACCUAGCACAGAUGCAAACACUCAACAGAAUGUCAGGUCUAGAAGCGGUAAGAUAAAGAAGUGAACCAAUGAUGCUCCUGUACAGCUUUUGAUCAACUUUCUUUCCUUCUUCAUCUUUGUCUAUCUUCAAAGAACUUGACAUUGGUAUGUCGGUCUUUUUGCACUUUUCCAGUCUAAACCUUUUGACAAGAUCAUUAACAUAUUUUUCUUGAUAAAUAAAAGUUCCUUCCUUCAAUUGUUUUACUUGAAGACCAAGAAAGAAUGUUAACUCUCCCAUCAUACUCAUUUCAAAUUCAUCCUGCAUAGACUUAGAAAAUUUCUUGCACAGAUUUUCAUUAGAGGAUCCGAAAAUAAUGUCAUCCACAUAUAUUUGAACAAGUAAGAAACUUUUGUUUUCCUUUUUGAUUAAUAAAGUCGUAUCUACUUUACCUUUGACAAAACCAUUUUGUAUUAAAAACUUACUUAAUCUGUCGUACCAAGCCCGAGGUGCUUGCUUUAAACCAUACAAAGCCUUUUUCAGUCUAAAGACUGAGUCUGGCUUCUUUGGGUCUUCAAACCCUGGUGGUUGUUCCACAUAAACUUCCUCAUGGAUAAAUCCAUUUAGGAAGGCACUUUUGACGUCCAUUUGGAAUAACCUGAAAUUCUUAUAACAAGCAAACGCAAGUAAUAGUCGAAUAGCUUCUAACCUUGCUACUGGAGCGUAAGUCUCAUCAUAGUCUAUUCCUUCUUCUUACGUAUAUCCCUUGGCCACGAGUCUUGCUUUGUUUUGUACGACUUUUCCUUUCUCAUUCAUCUUGUUUCUGAACACCCAUUUAGCUCCAAUAACAGUUUUACCUUUUGGUUUGGAUGUCAAUUCCCAGACAUCAUUAAUGCUGAACUGUCUGAGCUCUUCUUGCAUAGCUUCAAUCCAGCUUUCAUCAGAUAAAGCUUCUUCUAUGCUUUUUAGUUCAAUUUCAGAAACGAGAGCCACAGCACUAGACUAUUCUUGCCUUUUGGAUCUGGUGCGAAUUCCUUCAUUAAUUUCGCCGAUUAUAAGAUCUUUGGGAUGACUGGACUUAUGCUUCCAGUUACUUGUUGAUUUGUCUGGUUGAUGAUCUCUCUCUUUGUUUGGAUCUUCACGAACAUCCUGAUGCUGGUUUUCCAGAGUCUGAGAUGCUUCUUGAGUUGUAAGCUUUGGAAGGUCUGGAGCAGGUUCAGACUCUUCUUGAUGAGUCUGACUUGAUUCAUCUUGUGUUGAGUCUUGAAAUUUGACAUUCAUUGACUCCUCCACAGACUGGCUCUUCUUGUUAUAGACUCUGAAGGCUUUGCUUGAUAUAGAAUAUCCAAGGAAGAUACCUUCAUCUGAUCUUUCUUCAAACUUACCAACUCGAUCUUUUGCAUUUUUCAAUAUAAAACAUUUGCAACCGAAUAUAUGAAAGUAUGAAACAAUAGGCUUCUUAUCUUUGAACAACUCAUAAGGGGUUUUCUCUAGAAUAGGUCUUAAGAAGACUCUAUUGAUGAUAUAGCAUGCUGUUGAAACAGCUUCAGCCCAAAAUCGUGAAGAAAUCUUGCUUUCAAUUAAAAGAGUUCUAGCCAUUUCUUGAAGAGAUCUGUUCUUUCUUUCCACAACUCCAUUUUGCUGAGGAGUAUAUGGAGAGGAGAACACAUGAUUAAAUCCAUAUUCAUCACAAAAUUUUGUAAAAUCUUGAUUUUCAAAUUCACCUCCAUGAUCUGUUCUUAUACUAGAGAUGACACAUCCUUUUUCAUUUUGAACCUUUUUAGCAAAUUUUUCAAAAUACGAGAAGGUUUCGGACUUACUUGCAAGGAAAUAUACCCAAGUAAAACGGGAGUAAUCGUCCACAAUUACUAGUCAAUAUUUCUUACCUCCAAUACUCUGUGUUCUGGUUGGUCCGAAGAGAUCCAUAUGCAGCAACUGUAGUACAUGAUUAGUAGAGACAUGAUUUAUUGGCUUAAAUGAAUUUCUUACCUGCUUUCCCAGAAUACAUGGAGUGCAUGGAUCAGUCUUUUGAUAAGGUAAUUUGGGUAGUCCUCGAACAAGCUGCUUUGAUGAGAUUUUGGCUAAUUGCUUCAUGUUGACAUGACCAAGCUUUUUGUGCCAUAAGCUUGCUUCGUCUUGAAUUGAGAUAAAACAUUGUGAUUCAUUUGGUUUCACAUCCAGAAGAUAGAUGUUUCCAUGUCUACGACCCAUGAAAGACUGAGUAGAGUCUUUACUGAUUCCAUAACAUAUUCCUUCUUGAAAGAAGAUCUUGAAACCAGUAUCACACAAUUGACUAAUGCUGAGAAGAUUGUAAUUGAGUCCUUCCACUAAGGAAACAUUACUUAUUGUGAGAUUUCCAAUUUUCACAGUUCCAAGUCCCACAAUACUUCAUUUGCUGUUUCCUCCAAAUGAAACUUUUCCACCAUUUACUUGAGCAAGCUUUAUAAAACAAUUUGAGUCUCCUGUCAUGUGUCUUGAGCAUCCACUGUCAAGAUACCACUUUACCUUUUUCUUGACAGUGACCUGCAUUUAAAAAAGAGUUUCAAGCUUUCUUUGGUACCCAAACUUUCUUGGGUCCUUUGGUGUUAGUAACAUAAGCAGUAUUAGCCCAUAUUUUCUUAACAGGUUUCCAAACCAUAGGACACUCUUUUUCAAAGUGAUCCGGACUGUUGCAUUUUGAACAUCUUAGAGCAUUUCUACCUACAGAUUUUACAAAAACUUUCUUGAAGUGAUUUUUGUAAACCUCUCUCGAGAGUCUUUUCUUAAUUCUUUCUUUUACUUUAGGAAAAUCAAUCAAGGGAAUUGUUUUUUCUGACAUACUUAGACCGGACUUAUUGAAGUAAGGUCUUUGAGCUGAAAGAAUUUUCUGAAGUUUUUCAGACCCUAUUGAAAAUUUCUUUGAUAUAUUUGAUAAGUCUGUUUUUAAAAAAAACCUUUUUUUUUAAAAGAUUAUCUUCAUUUUCUUUAAGAUUGGAAACAGUCAAGUCUAGACUUUUAACUCUUUCUACUAAAACAUUUUCCUUUUGUUUUAGAGUUGAGUUUUCCUUUUUCAGUUCGGAAAUUCUUUUGAGAGAAGUCUUAAGACUGAAACAUAGUUCAUCAAUGUAUUUAGAAACUUUGACAGGAAUUUUAAAAUUACUUGCCUCAAAUUCACUGUCUGAGUCUGAUCCAGAGUCUGAGUCUGAUUGUGCCAUCAGACAUAGAUUGGCAUAUUCAUUAUCACUUUCUUUACACUCUGUAUCACUCCAGGUUUCGGCUUUGAGAGCUUUUCGAAAUUUUUCAGCUUUUCCUCUCUUCUUCUUCAGAAGAGGACAGUUGGGUCUGAUGUGUCCCUUUUUCUUACAUUCAAAGCAGACUACGUCUUUGUUUGGUUCCUCAUCAUCAACAGACUUGGUCUGCUGUCUUUGAAAGCUUUGUUUCUUUGAGUUGAACAUUCUUCCUUUUCUAUUUAGUUUUCUGAAUCUUCUUAUCAUGAGAGCAAGCUCCUCAUCAUCCAUAUCAUCUUCAGAAUCUGUAUCAUCAGAAUCGUCAUUUGAUUUUAAUGCAAUAGAUUUCUUACCUUUUGGAUCUUCAUCUUCAUUGAUCCGUUCAACUUCAUAAGACUGAAGAGUUCCAAUUAGCUCGUCGACAGAUAGUGGCAUAAUUCUUUGCGUCUCUCUUAUCGAAGUCUUUAUGUGAUUCCAAUCCCUGGAGAGUCCACGCAGUAGCUUGUUUACCUUCAUGGGAUCAGAAGUUGGUUGACCUUGAUUUUCAAGACCAUUCACAAUAUCUGUAAAACGACUAAACAUAUCAGAUAUAGAUUCUCCUGGUUUCAUUCUGAAGGCUUCGUAUUGACCGAGAAGAAUGUUGAUUCUUGUUUCCUUCACUCGAUCUGUUCCUUCAUAGGUGAUAUGCAAUCUGUCCCAAACUUCUUUUGCUGUACCACAAGAAGAUAUUCUAUUAUAUUCAGUUGGUGAUAAAGCACAAUAUAGGGAGUAAAUUGCUUUUGCAUCGAGUGCUUGUCUCUUGAUUAUUUCUUCCUGAGACAUUCUGCUGGUUUCAUCAGUUUCUUUUCCUCUUUCAGAGACUGAUGCAGUGGUAGGAGUAAUUCCUUUUUCUACAACGUCCCAUUCUAGAGGAUCCUUUGAUCGUAGGAAAGCUUUCAUCUUGUUCUUCCAGAUGUUGUAAUCCUUUCCAUCAAAGUAGGGUGGUCUGGUAUUGCUUUGCCCUUCCAUCAGCCCUGGUGCUAGCAUACUAGCCAUGGAUCUUUUACUAUGAAGUAAAACACUUCAAUUAAAGUAAGUACACAGGCUCUGAUACCAAUUGAUGUUGCUAGUAUGAGUACCUAGAGGGGGGGUGAAUAGGUAUAUAAAAGAUUUUUCUUCAACAAUUGCACAAUACUAGACAGUUGAAGGAAACGAUAAUCAAAGUAAGACUGAGAGAAGAGAAAAUUGAACACGCAGUUUAUAGUGGUUCGGCUUAUAUUAAGCCUACGUCCACUCUUCUUCACUGACAGCCUAUUUGCUGGAUUCCACUAUGAACAAAAGAGAAGUUACAGCACAGCUUUGCCUUGAUUCCACAGUGUAGAUGUUCUACCACACCUCCUCAAGAUUUCUCACAAAUAUAGACUCUCUUUUGUAUACAAGUAUUCGCUCAAAGGAUUUGUCUAAACAAAAAGGAGCUUCAGACUUUGGAAUUCUUCUAUCGCGCACACCUUGAACAACUAAGACAGUCCUCCUUAUAUACUCCUUUAUGCCAUCAUACCCGUUGGCACUUACCAAAGGAAUUCCUCCAAUCUACCCAUUGGACGGAAUCAAUUAGGAAGAUUGUUCAAGCUAUUAAAGGAACGUGUUGAUAGCCCAUUAAUCCUGUUCGCCCAUACAAUCAGGAUCUCGGUUUCCAUAAGCAGAACCUUCCAAUAUUAUUUAGGCAAUCACCGGAUCUUCAAUUAUCGAGUCAAUCUUCGAUCAAUCAAAGGACUCCGUUAUGUCUUUUCCAGCCACGAGAUCUUCUCCAGUUGAUAAGGUUAAAUCCUUAACGAAACAUCCAGUUCUGGAUAACCUUUCUUCAACGGAUUAGAGACUGUCAAUGAGGAUAGACUUUGAGUCUUGAGUCUGGCUGUCCGGAGGUCUUCAGACUUUAAAUAGCAGAGUCUGCAAGCCUUCAGACUAGACUGAUAGAAACGUUUUGUCAACUUCAAAACAUUUCAAGAAGAUUUCUCCAACAGAGGGGACAAAAGAGAGAAAGAGGAGAGAGAGCGUCAGAGAAGUGGGCCCCGGUUUUCGUCCUUUGUCUGCGCUCCCCAUACACGUGGCGCCAUGUGAGUGGUCCGGGACCACGCUGACGUGGCGGUCCCGGACCACCCAAUAUUUUUCCGCCAACCUACUCACAUGAACACGCGGGUCCUCUUUCAUCUCCUCGUACAUCAAGAAAAACACCUGCUCAGGCAUCUCCAAGCUCGCCUUGUGGAAACCCAGCACAUGGUCCCAGUAAGGCCCGUAGGGGCUCAGUCCUUGACAGAACUUGUCAAGGCACUUUGGGAGCGGAGUCUGGCCCUUCCCUUCGGGCCUCAGCUUGUUGACGAAGUGCCACAGCGAGAUGAACAUGUCCUUAGGGUUCCUACACAGGUAAACUAGCUUGCACCUGAAGUCCCUCACCGACCUUGGAAGUGAGGAAUAGGGCAAGUGGGUGGCGAAGAGCCUCGGGGACUCGAAAGCAGUGAGAUUGGGAUUUUCUUGCUCAAGAUAGAGCUUGAGCUCCAGGAAGGGCACAAGAUCGUGGGGGUUUUGGGUUAGGAGAGGGUGGCAUCGUUGUGAGUCGGAGUCAGAGUACUUGGCACGGUUCAAGAGAGCAAAGAGGAUGGCCUUUAGCCAGGUGGUGUCGGAUUUCAGUUUGGUGACGAGGAGGAUGUCAGAGGGUUGAGCUUGGAAGUGGUUUUGGCAAGCGAGGACGCCUUUGAAGAGCCAAG
This 84454-nucleotide long non-coding RNA is filed under the name Eucalyptus grandis. Its description in RNAcentral is "long non-coding RNA (EGRA_LNC001068)". Lineage: Eukaryota; Viridiplantae; Streptophyta; Magnoliopsida; Myrtales; Myrtaceae. The record is from RNAcentral.